Molecule: long non-coding RNA, 63822 nt
Filed under: Capsicum annuum
Lineage: Eukaryota; Viridiplantae; Streptophyta; Magnoliopsida; Solanales; Solanaceae
Description: long non-coding RNA (CANN_LNC010628)
Source: RNAcentral
GCUCUCUAUGGUAGGAGAUGUAGAUCUCCAAUCAGUUGGUUUGAAGUUACUGAGUCCUCAGUCAUAGGGCCUAACUUAGUUUUUGAUGCCUUAGAGAAAGUCCAGUAGAUCAGAGAAAGACUCCAUGCUGCUCAGAGCCGACAGAAGUCUUAUGCAGAUGUAGAUAGAAAAGAUCUCGAGUUCCAAAUCGGUGAUUAUGUCUAUAUAAGGAUAUCUCCCAUAAAGGGAGUGAAGAGGUUAGGCAAAAAUGGAAAGCUCAGUCCCUGAUAUGUCGUCCCCUUCAAGAUUCUCAGUCGCUUUGGUAAGGUAGCUUAUAAUCUCGAUUUGCCUUCAGAUCUAGCCUCAGUUCAUCCAGUAUUUCAUGUAUCUUUGCUCAAGAAGUACGUAGGUGACCCAUCAGUCAUAGUCCCUAUUCAGAGCAUUGAUGUUCAGAACAGCCUCUCGUAUGAAGAGAUUCCAGUUAAAAUCCUAGAUUAUCAAACUCGUAGACUAAGGAACAAAGAAGUCACUCUAGUUAAAGUUCUUUGGUAAAAUCAGUACGUUGAGGGAUCUACUUGGGAAGCAGAAGCAUAUAUGCGCACCAAGUACCCUCACCUCUUCUCUACCAAUCCAGAUCAAUCUUAAGGUAACAUUUCUCAUUAAGCUUAUUCAGCUUCACAUUCAGCAUUCAACACAACUUAGUAUUCAGUUUCAUACACAUAUUUUCUCACAAAUUUGGUAUCAAGUACCAUUUCAUAUUUGGUCAUGCAUUCAUGUACCAGCUCAGUUAUGAAAUUAUGCAUCAAACAUGCAUUCUCACUGUGAGAAACUUAGUUCUUCAGAACACUUAGUUAUACAUUCAUGAAUCAGUUACACACGCAUCAAAUAUGCAUGUUCAGUAUGUUAUGUUUAGCUUGUCAGUCAUGAGAUCAUGUUCCAGCUAUCCAUGUUUAGUUCAUGUUUAGCUUAUUGUUCCCCCUCUCAUGCAGUCUCAUUUAAGGAUAAAUGUUCCCAAGGGGAGAUAUUGUAAUACCUUGAAUUUUCUUCCUAGCUAAUUUCAUCCCAAGAAUGCCUAGUAUUAGUUUCUAAAGUAAAUAAUGAUUAUUACAUGAGGAAUUUUCAAUAUUUUCACCUUUUUUCAUAUGGGAAAUUCAAUAAGCUUUCCAUCGAUAUAAAAUUUGCCCAAAUCCGACACCCGGGCAAAGAGUUAGAGCCUUUUUAGUGAGAUAGUGUAUCACCUGAGCCUCCAGCGCAUCGCGGAGAUAGCUCAAAUGGAAAUUGUCAAUUUACAAUGUUGCUCGAUGAUAGUGGUGCGUUGCGCUAAACUUUCAUGUCGCAGGCAAGGUGGCAAUGCGAUAGCUCCGCAUUGCGCCACCGUGCAAAUUCCUAUUUGUCAUUUUCCAGUGACUUGGCGCGAUAGUGGCACGUCGCGCCAAGGAUGAAAAUUGGAAAAUUUUCUCAAAAAUUAAAGACGUGUCCUAGGGUUAAAAGGGUCAAUUUUCCCACCCUAUAUAAGCCUUAUAACACGAGAUUUGGCCAUAAUUCAGCAACUUAUACUCAAUUACUCUCAAAAACUCUCAAGAACAAGCCCUAGGGUUUUCAUAGAAGGUUCAACUCCAAGGGAAUUCAUCGUCAAAUUUAAAUAAUCUCUCCGUCAAUCUUCACAAAAUCACGAACUAAGGUACGUAGUGUUCAUCCACGAAUCUCUUUUAUUCGUGGAGUCUAAGAAUCAUGUUUUAAAUAACCUAUUGUGAUUUGCUUGUUGUGAUUUAAUCAUGUUCAUGUUGAUAGUUGUUAUUUAUAUUUCAAGAUGGUAUCUUGAUGACUUUCCAUGAGGUAUGUGCAUUUGUUGAUUGAAAACCUAUGAGUUUGGGUAGUUUUAGAUUCUUAAAUUGAUGAUUUCACCUAUACUAUAAAGUGUGCAUGUAAAGUGUUUGAUAAAAUUCCUAGAAUGAUAGAAUCAUGUUCCUUAUGACUCAAUAGUAUCUAAAUGACAAGUCCAUGCUAACCCUUAUGAUGCCACACAAUUUCCACGCUCUUGUUAUGUAUUGACUGUUGUGUUAUGCAACGUUCAUGGUAUUGAAAUCAUGCAAGUAUGUACAUGUUAUAUGCAUUCCCUUCCAUGAUCAAGACUAUGAUAACCAUAUGAAGCAUGAAAUCCCUUAUUUAUGGCAUUAUGAAUUAUGAACUCUAUUCCUAUGAUCAAGAAGUAUUAUGGAUUGUUGAUGUUGGUCAUGUAUUCAAGAAUGUCAUGGCUUGUUACUUUCCUUAUAUCGAGUCCUGGGGGUACUUGUACCCAAAAAAUAUAGUUGUGUGCCUAGAGCUAUGUCAUAUUUUCAUGAUACUCUCAGUCAAGCCAUGUUCCAUAGAAGUCAGUCAGUCAUGUGACUCAGGAAAUCUCAGAAAUCUCAUGAACUCAGUACUCAGUAAGAUCAGUAAUCUCAAGAACUCAGUUAGUUAUUAGAUAUUAAUAGAAUUCCAUCAGUCGAUGGAAUUUAGUAAACUCAAUCCAUGUACAAUCAGUCAAUCAUGUUCAGUCUCUUCAGAUGGGAGUAGAAUUUAGCACCGAAUGAACCCAAGGAUGGGAACACACACUGUCAGAUGAGGGUGUAAUUCUUAGCAGUCAUCCUUGUGUUCUAGAACUAUGUAGCCAGCAUAGGUUGAGAUAUCAACACUUUCAGAUGAGAGUUGAUGAGGUGGAUAAGUACUAUCAAAUGAGGGCCCCACCAUUCUCUUUUGGGGACACUGUUAAAUGAGGUUACCUACAGUUGUCCUUACCAGUGGCGCGAUAUUGACACCCUUCCAAUCAGGGCAUAGAUUGGACCCCAGCUCAGUUGUUCUAGCAUAUUUGGGGCAUGAUGGUUAAAUAACUAUUCCCAUAGUUUCAGUAUCAGUCUCAGUAAAAGAACUCAAAUAGUUCUACAGAUUUUAGUACUGUCAGAUACAAUCAACUCAGUCACAUUACAGAACUUAGAUAGUUCCAAUCAUAUUUAGGACUAUCAGACACAGUCAGUUAUUAUCAUUUAUUAAUGUAAACCCCAUGUAUUCAGCCUACCUCACACGUAUACUCAGUACAUUCUUUUCUACUGACACAUUUGUGCUAUGGUGUUUUCUUUUUAUGUUACACCAUAGGUUUAGAGACACGACUCCCAGAUCAGCAGCAGUACUAGCAUUCCAGGGUUCAGAGUUUUAGCAGUGUGUCCUCAUUCUCUGAGGAUGUGAUCUUAGUUUAUCAUAUCAGUUCAUUUUUUAGUUGACGGAGUUAGUUGGGGGAUAUGUCCCAUCAACUCCUUAGUCAGAUAGUUAGAGGCUUUCAAAUGACUACAGUAUUUUUCAUGUUUUUUAGACUUCUGUAUUUCAGUUUUGUUUUGGUAUCGAGAUACCACUCUAUGUCAGACGUUAUUGUUAUUAUUCAUUUAUGUUCAGUAUUGAACCUUAUGGGCUCUCAUUGCAUGUUUCUGCAUUUUCAUGUCAUAUUAUGUAGUGUACAGGUACAGAUAUCGGUCAUGGAUUAGCUUGUGGUCCUUCGGGGUCAUGAGCACCGUGUAGUGUUCCGGUUCAGAUUAUCAAGGCAUUACAUAAAGUUUUUUAUCAAACACUUGGCAUGCAUGGCUUAUACCAAAUUGGGGGUUUCUAGUCAACAUGCUAUAAUAGCCCUAUUUCCCUCACACAAGCAUUUUAUCAAACAUAUGGGAAGCAUGCUUUGGUCAUAUCACAAUUUAUACACCAAUUCUCAUGAGCAAUCCAUCAACAUACAACUUGAAGGGGGUUUAUCAUGAACAUCACAUGAUUACUACAUAAUAGGUCAAAGCAUGAAACUUUAAAAUCAUAACAUGAUUUAAAACUCCACAACCCCAUGAACUUCAAUCUCAAUUCACAUGAAUCAUGGAAAACACAUAAAUCUAUAAUCUAGAAUUUAGAAAAAAAGGGAUUCUUGGACUUCUUGGGCCGAAGGGACCCAAGAAUGAACAUCUGCAUAUCUUAGUUUCUUGAUUUGGAGAGACUUGAUGGAGGAGUUCUUUACUUCUUGGACCUUUGGGUUGAAACCCUAGGUUGUUCUUGAGGAAAAUUGACAGAAGACUAGUAUAUUUGGGUGAAAUAGUUAUAAAUCUCAUGUUAAAGAGUUUAUAUAGAGGUUGGAAAGUUAUGAUUUUGCCCUUGGAAACACGGAUUGGAUUGCUGAAAUUUGGCCCACGGCUAUAGCCUGGGCGAUGCCUUGGCUUGAGCACUGCUAUAACCAGGGCGGCACCUUGCUAUAGCGGUACUAAGACUAGGGCGGCGCCUCGAAUUUUACAGUGCUGAAAGCUGGGCGACGCCUUGAGAUCGCCCUGAGCUACUGUUUGUUAAAUCCAAACGUGCCCUUAUGUUAUCUAAAAAAUUCCGAAACUCACCCGAAAUGUACUAUGACCUUUCCCCAUCGCAUCGCAAUUUGAAAAUCAAAAAUUAGAGGUCGAGAAGGUCACGAAAUAAUUUAUCAAAGUUUGGAAGAUUAUGAAAAUGAAAAAUUUUCAACACUUGGCCAAGUUUUUAAGUGCAAAGCAUCUCUUGACAAGAUUAAAAAGUCCUUAACGACUCAGAAAACUUAUGGGGUCUUACAUUAUCUCCCCUUUGGGGAUAGUCAUCCUCGAAUGUGACUGACUAGAAGAAGAAUACUGAUGAACAGAAUUUACCUAAGGGACGUGAACAACUGAAACAUGAAUAUAUGACUAGAAUUACUGACAUACUGAAAUCUUGUACUGAAUAUGCAUAGCUAAUGCAUAGAAUACCCGACUGAAAUUAUGGAUAAGUUGAAUUCUCAUAACAGACAUUCAUAUCUGAUGCAUGGGCACUUGAAUGAUUUACUUUCAUGAAUGCAUGAUUGAAUACACUAAUAAGCUGAACUUUUCUACUAAGCAUGCUUAGCUAAUGCAUGAAUGUCUGACUGAACUGACUCUGAAUGCCUGACUGUCUAUGCAAUGAUAAUCAAUGCAAAGCUUACAAUGAGAAUAUGAGCUUGAAACUAAAUGGAUUUAAGGAAUUGAUAACUUCAGGGAGUCAUGGAGUAUAUCCCCCUUGGGACACUAUGUCCCACUAAGCAUACUUACCUCACUGAUAUACUAAGGCGAUGCAUAGGGCAUCUACAAACUAGAUUAUAACGGAACCUCAGGAGUCUGAAACUAAUGCAUAUCAUGAAGAUAAAAGAUUCAUACAUACCCGAAUCUAUGUCAGGGAAACUUUCUAGAUCAUGGUGAGUCUGAAGUGAAUAGAGUCAGUUUUGACGGUGACCACUAGUGGUACUAGGAGUGGCAUCCUGCUGAUGUGAAUCUCUACCUUUCUGAGCUAACACUCUACACUCCGGUAUUCUGUGACCUGGCUUACCGAAUUCAAAACAUACCUAACUAUUAGCUCUGCACGCACCUAGAUGGUUCUUGCCACUCUCCACAAAGCGGAUAGGUAUGCUCACUACUAACACUACUCUAGGCUUUGGAGCCUGGUGCCCCAUCAUGACUGACAUCUCUGAAGUUUGGUGUGGUCACACUAGCUGAGGAUGGAGCUGGGACUGAUGUCUUCUGACUAUGGUGAGAACGAUUUCCACCCUAUGACCCGGCUUGAGAAAAGUUGUAACUACCUAUUCUGAAUCUCUUAUUAGAUCUCUCUCUCUCUCCUUAGAUUUAUCUUCCUCUAUCUGCUGGUCAUACAUCAUUAACCUAGCAAGAUCUAUGUCUCUAUUGAGCAUAGCAGUUCUACACUUCUUCAAUACAAACCUGGACACACCAGUCACAAACUUACUCAUACUCGCUCUAGGGUCAGCUAUCAAGUCAGGAGCAUACUUAGCUAACUGAUUGAACUUAAGACAAUACUCCUUCACUAUCAUGGAGCCUUGUCUCAGGUGCAUAAGCUCUUCUACCUUAGCUUCUCUCAUCUCUAGCAGGAAAAACUUAUCUAGAAAGGCAUCCGAAAAUACUUGCCAAGUCAUGGGAGUUGCAUCCUCUCCUCUACUCUUCUUCCAUAUUACUACCCAAUCAUGAGCAAUAUCUUUCAUCCUAUGGGAUGCUAACUCUAUACUCUCUUCCUCAGAAACAUGCAUAAUCUGGGUGAUCUUUUUCACCUCCUCUAGAUAAAGAUGGGGGACCUCACUUAAUACUGACCUAAAAAAUUCUGGCAGGUUUGUUCUCAUGAAAUUUCUGAUCCUGGCUGUGGCUGAAUCCCCAUCUUGCUGAGGUGGGGCUGCAGCCUGACGAUUUCCCUGAACAUUAGUGGUCAAAGUUUGGGCUAGCGCCUGAAAAGCUGCCCAGAACUCUGCAUAUGACACAUUCUCAUUUAGAUGAUCCACGGGCUGAGGGGCUAACUGAUUCCCUGUUCUCUUCUUAAGAGGCAUGUUCUGCAAACAGAAAAGGAACAAGGAUUAAACUAAGAGUUCAACUUGAGCUUUUGCUCACUGGCACGACAUGAAUAAUGAAAGAAGGGAAACUAUCCCUAAAACAUCUUAUAGCCUCCUUUACAUAAAUGUGGCAUACAACACACCCAUGUACAAGACUCUACUAAAUGCGGCUUUUCAGACUUCCUAGGACACAAUUGAACCUUAGGAUCUGAUACUAAGUUUGUAAUGCCCUAAUUUUCUAGAACCAAAAUUUCACACAAUGCUCAUGAUCUCGUGGAACCACAAGCUAACUCUUUUUUGAUAUUUGUACCUGAGCACUGCAUAAUAUAUUAUAAUAAAUACGGAAAGUUGGCAAAAACUUGCCUUAAGGUUUAAAACGUCUAAAAUACUCGAAACUAAAAACUGAAUACUGAUACAUCUGUCUGAAAAAACCUCUAAUUGUCUAAAUUGUGGAGUUGAUGAGACAUGUCCCCAACUAACUCCAUCUACUGAAAAUAAUUUGAAUCUAAUGAAAUAGUAAAAAUAAGGAUCAUUCUCAAAUAAAGAGGACUCACUGCUACGUCUACUGUUGCUGACUGGAUCUGGACUGCUAAGGGUGCUCUGGGGCUCAUGCUUUUAAACCUAUGAUGUCAAAUAAAACACCAUAGUGCAAAUACGUCAGUACGAGAAUGUACUGAGUAUGAAGAUGAGAUAAGGCUAAAUGAAAGGGCUUAUGCAUGAACAACACUGGCUGAAUACUAUGAAUAAGUUGAAUAAGUACACAUGCAUGAAUGCAUAAAUCAUAACUAAAAUUCAUGGUAACACUGAAUACUUGAACUUCUUACAACUGAGCUGAUUACUGCUGAGCUCUGGUUUACUAGUCACUGGAUACUAACUUACUGAUGAUUGAGUCUUUUAUUACUGAUAUCUAUAACUGAGUCUUGAGCUUGCUAAUAUCAACUGACUGAAACUAAGAUCAAACCUAUCUAGCGGAUGAUCUUCAAAUCUAUUAAUACUGAUAAGAAAUGAUUAAAUCUGAGUUUGAGAUCAGGCCAAUCUAACGGGUGAUCUCUAAAUCUUGUUAUUACUGAUACUGAUUAACUUUAUGUGAGACCAGCCUAUCUAGCGGGUGGUCUAUGAAUCUAUGGAACUAUCUGAGUUCCUUACUAAACUGUGUGACCGUAUCUGACGGUCCUAAAUCUGAAGACUUUCUGAGGUAUUGACUGAGACUGAAUUGAAGUUGAAACUAUAACUGUGGAAGUUCUCACUUAACCGACAUGCCUUGAAUUUGAACUAGUGGGGUCCAACAUGUAACCCCAAAUGGAAGGGUGUCAAUACCAUGCCACGGGUAGAGACCUUUGGUAUGGUCAAGCCUCUCUAACGGGUGACCCUGAAUAGAAAGUCAAGCCUAAGGCAAUAUAAUAUUCAAGUCAAGCCUUAAUCUAACAGGUGACUCCUUGUCCUGUGCUGGCUACGCAGUUCUGGAGUACAACGAUUGCUACUAACGACUCUGCCUCUCUAAAGGGAAAGGCAUCAUCCCUGCACUCGCUCAGUGCUAGUUCCUACUCCUAACUAAAAGACUCUGAGCUGAUUCUUAACUGAACUUAAAUUGAGCUGAAUCUGUUAUUAUUCAUAUUUCUGAACUAAUCUAACUGAGUACACUUGGUUCCGUUAUCUGACGGAAUACAACUGAAUCUAUUAUCUAACUAAAUGAUACUAAGUUUUGAAUUAAUUUAUUGAAUGCUACUGAGAUUUGAGCUGAGUACUGACUGAAGCUGGAAUGCUAACGAUACUUAGAUUACUGAGAUUUCUUAAGUUCUAUAAAUGUCUGAGAGUUUUGGAUUCUACAACUAACUGAUUUCUACUGAUCAUAGCACGACUGAGAUUAUUUUGAGAUCGACUCAGCUCUAGGUAAUAGCUAUAUUUUUUGGGUACAAGUACCCCCAGGACUCGAUAAGAGGAAACUGACAAGACAUGACUCCUCGAAUUCAUGACCAACAUCAACAUCAUAAUAAUAGAUUCACCAUUCACUCAAUAAAACGUCUCUUCAAGGACUUACAAAACCUAAUAUGUAUGUACAUAGGGAAUACAUACCAACAUUUCAUAAGUCAUCCCACAAGAUCUUGCAUUAAACAAAUAACAUGCAUUCAAGUGUACAUAAUUGAGGACUUCAUGUUAACAUGUCACAAUUCAUUCACUAAAGCUUUUUAUCAAAUACUUGGCAUGCAUGGCUUAUGCCAAAUUGGAGGUUUCUAAUCAACAUGCUAUAAUAGCCCUAUUUCCCUCACACAAGCAUUUUAUCAAACAUAUGGGAAGCAUGCUUUGGUCAUAUCACAAUUUCUACACCUAAUUCUCAUGAGUAAUCUAUCAACAUACAACUUGAAGGGGGUUUAUCAUGAACAUCAGAUAAUUACUACAUAAUAGGUCAAAGCUUGCAACUUUAAAAUCAUAACAUGAUUUAAAAAUCAACAACCCAAUAAAGUUCAAUAUCAAUUCACAUGAAUCAUGGAAAACACAUAAUAACUAAAAUUCAUGGUAACACUGAAUACUUGAACUUCUUACAACUGAGCUGAUUACUGCUGAGCUCUGGUUUACUAGUCACUGGAUACUAACUUACUGAUGAUUGAGUCUUUUAUUACUGAUAUCUAUAACUGAGUCUUGAGCUUGCUAAUAUCAACUGACUGAAACUAAGAUCAAACCUAUCUAGCGGAUGAUCUUCAAAUCUAUUAAUACUGAUAAGAAAUGAUUAAAUCUGAGUUUGAGAUCAGGCCAAUCUAACGGGUGAUCUCUAAAUCUUGUUAUUACUGAUACUGAUUAACUUUAUGUGAGACCAGCCUAUCUAGCGGGUGGUCUAUGAAUCUAUGGAACUAUCUGAGUUCCUUACUAAACUGUGUGACCGUAUCUGACGGUCCUAAAUCUGAAGACUUUCUGAGGUAUUGACUGAGACUGAAUUGAAGUUGAAACUAUAACUGUGGAAGUUCUCACUUAACCGACAUGCCUUGAAUUUGAACUAGUGGGGUCCAACAUGUAACCCCAAAUGGAAGGGUGUCAAUACCAUGCCACGGGUAGAGACCUUUGGUAUGGUCAAGCCUCUCUAACGGGUGACCCUGAAUAGAAAGUCAAGCCUAAGGCAAUAUAAUAUUCAAGUCAAGCCUUAAUCUAACAGGUGACUCCUUGUCCUGUGCUGGCUACGCAGUUCUGGAGUACAACGAUUGCUACUAACGACUCUGCCUCUCUAAAGGGAAAGGCAUCAUCCCUGCACUCGCUCAGUGCUAGUUCCUACUCCUAACUAAAAGACUCUGAGCUGAUUCUUAACUGAACUUAAAUUGAGCUGAAUCUGUUAUUAUUCAUAUUUCUGAACUAAUCUAACUGAGUACACUUGGUUCCGUUAUCUGACGGAAUACAACUGAAUCUAUUAUCUAACUAAAUGAUACUAAGUUUUGAAUUAAUUUAUUGAAUGCUACUGAGAUUUGAGCUGAGUACUGACUGAAGCUGGAAUGCUAACGAUACUUAGAUUACUGAGAUUUCUUAAGUUCUAUAAAUGUCUGAGAGUUUUGGAUUCUACAACUAACUGAUUUCUACUGAUCAUAGCACGACUGAGAUUAUUUUGAGAUCGACUCAGCUCUAGGUAAUAGCUAUAUUUUUUGGGUACAAGUACCCCCAGGACUCGAUAAGAGGAAACUGACAAGACAUGACUCCUCGAAUUCAUGACCAACAUCAACAUCAUAAUAAUAGAUUCACCAUUCACUCAAUAAAACGUCUCUUCAAGGACUUACAAAACCUAAUAUGUAUGUACAUAGGGAAUACAUACCAACAUUUCAUAAGUCAUCCCACAAGAUCUUGCAUUAAACAAAUAACAUGCAUUCAAGUGUACAUAAUUGAGGACUUCAUGUUAACAUGUCACAAUUCAUUCACUAAAGCUUUUUAUCAAAUACUUGGCAUGCAUGGCUUAUGCCAAAUUGGAGGUUUCUAAUCAACAUGCUAUAAUAGCCCUAUUUCCCUCACACAAGCAUUUUAUCAAACAUAUGGGAAGCAUGCUUUGGUCAUAUCACAAUUUCUACACCUAAUUCUCAUGAGUAAUCUAUCAACAUACAACUUGAAGGGGGUUUAUCAUGAACAUCAGAUAAUUACUACAUAAUAGGUCAAAGCUUGCAACUUUAAAAUCAUAACAUGAUUUAAAAAUCAACAACCCAAUAAAGUUCAAUAUCAAUUCACAUGAAUCAUGGAAAACACAUAAAUCUAUAAUCUUGAAUUUAGAAAAAAAAUAGGAUUCUUGGACUUCUUGGACGGAAGGGACCCAAGAAUGAACAUUUGCAUACUUAGUUUCGUGAUUUGGAGAGACUUGACGGAGGAUUUCUUGAGUUCUUGAACCUUUGGGUUGAAACCCUAGGUUGUUCUUAAGGAAAAUUGAGAGAAGACUUGUACAUUUGGGUGAAAUAGUGAGAAAUAUCGUGUUAAAGAGUAUAUAUAGAGGUUGGAAAGUUACAAUUUUUCCCUUGGAAACACAGAUUGGAUUGCUGAAAUUUGGCCCAGGGCUAUAGCCAGGGCGACGCCUUGGCUUGAGCACUGCUAUAACCAGCGCGGCAUAUUACUAUAGCGGUGCUAAGACCAGGGCGGCGCCUUGGAUUUUGCAGUGCUGAAAGCUGGGCAACGCCUUGAGAUUACCCUGAGCUACUGUUUGUUAAAUCCAAACGUGCCCUUAUGUUAUCUGAAAAAUUCCGAAACUCACCCGAAAUGUACUAUGACCUUUCCCCAUCGCAUCGCAACUUGAAAAUCAAAAAUUGGAGGUCGCCGGUCACUAAAUAAUUUGUCAAAGUUUGGAAGCUUAUGUAAAUGAAAAAGUUUCAACACUUAGCCAAAUUAUUAAGUGCUAAGCUUCUCUUGACAAGCUUAAAGGGGCCUUAACGACUCAGAAAACUUACCGGGUCUUAAAUAUCAGCACCAUCUUCAAGGACCCUUCGGCCUUAUCAAUUUGACCUAUCAAAGUUAACUAUACAAUACAAGAUCUUGUUUGAAUGAUCAAUGCCUAAUCAAUUAAAAACUGCAUUCAUAAAACAUUAUAUUUUAUGUGUGUUGUCACGAUGACCUUAUAAGUAAUACAUAACUCUCACACUUGAAAUUGGAUCCAUCCAUUUGCACGCACCUUAUUCUUCCUAACCCAUCUAUGGCUUAAUCUGAAUCAACAUAUGACUAACCUGUUGCAACAAAUGACAUAUCUAUUAAAAUUAUUAAAUAAUUCUAGAUAUUUGUUGCGAUAGAUGAUCAAUCUAUUACAACAUAUGACUUAUCUAUUGGAAAUAAUCAAAAAGAUAUAUGCAUCUAUUGCAAAAGAUUGUCGAUAUGUUGUAAAUUAUCAAACAAAUAGAACAUAUUUUGCAAAAAAUUACCAAUCUGUUAGAUUUAUUUUAAAGAAAAUUUAUUUUCUUUCCUAAAUACAACAAAAGAUAAAAUGAUGUAUUUACAUUCAUUUUUUUAAUUUACAUAUUCUAAAAGUCAGUAGUUUUAUUUAAUUUAGGAUGUAAUUAUUCAUAACUUACACUUCUAGAUAUGGAUGAUCCGAAUUUGGACAAGGUGAUUUUGCACGACUCCUUACGAAAACUUGAAAGGCAAAUUCAUGAACUCUGGUGGGAGUUGGGCGACAUGAGGGCCAGGCUGAGGAGGACCCUACUACUGUCGGAUGACAAUUGAUUGGUUGACAAUAAUAAUGAUAAUGAUAACAAUAAUAGUAAUAAUAAUAAUUAGGUUAUGUUUUUCUUUUAGCGUAUGUGUUUUCUUUUAAUAUAUCGGAUCUACAGAAGGGAGGAAGCUAAUAUAUGUUUUGUUUAUUGUAAUUUGUAUAUCAUUGAUUCAAAAAUCUAUGUUUGGUCGACUUUAGAUUUUUAAUUCUUAUUUAAUAUAAAUUUCAUUCUGUCUAUUCCUUAUUCUCUACAUAUCAACGGUUGGAGGUAGGGAUUGAGCGUUUGUGGCAACGGAUGCACCAUAUGUUGUAACAGAUGGUUAAUCUUUUGCGACAGAUGAAUCAUAUGUUGUAACAGACGGUUAUUAAUAAAAAAGGAUUAUUGUUAUUGAUAGGGUAAAAAGUCAUGACUUUUUUAUUAUUUAAUAUGAAAAAUGGUUCAUAAAUAAAUAAUAAGGAAAUAAAUGAGAAACCACAGUUUAUAAUUGUACAAAAUGAUUAUCUAAUUUUAAUAACUGAUGUUUAAUAUUAAAUAGGUGACAAGUCAUGACUUUUUUAAUAACUGAUGUUGAUAUUAAAAAGAGGUAAACAGUCGUAAUUUUUCGUCUAACACAUUCAAAAUAGUUGAUGAAUCAAAUUUCCCCUUUGUUGCUACUGAUGAAUCAACUAUUAAAAGAAAUCAAAAAAGCUCAUUCAAUAGUUGGUCAAUUUGUUGCAACAGAUGGUAUAUCCAUUGCCACAAAUGGGUUAUCUAAUGCAACAGAUAUACAAACUGUUUUCACAACUAAAAAAAUGGUUAUUAUUUUAUUAAAAGAAACAGCUAUUGAAAAGGUGAGGUCUUUGAUUAUUUAAUUGAGAAAAAGAUUAUAUAAUUUAAGAACUAAUUAAUAAUAAUAAGCUGAAUAAUCAUGACUUGUCACACUAAUCAAAAAGUUACCAGCUUGAUUUAAUUAAGUUAUUUCUUUUCACAGAAAACCAUAAGAAAAUAAAUUAUAAACACAAUUUAUUUAUAACCGUAAAAAAAUAGUUAUUUAAUUUGACUAAUUUUUGUUGAUAUUAAAUAGGCGACAAGUAGUGACUUUAUCAUUUUUGUUUUUAAAUCUAUUUUUUAAUUUAUAUAAUAAAAAAGUCACCAAUUUGGAUUAAUGAAAGUAUAUGAUUAUUAUUAAAAAAGAUAGAUUAUAUGUUGCAACAGAUAGGUUAAAUGUUACAACAGAUACAUUAUCUGUUGCACGGAUGGUUUAAUUGAGAAAAAGGUCAUUUAAAUUUAAGAAAUAAUUAAUAAUAACAAUCUAAAAAGACACGACUUAUCACAAUAAUUAAAAAGUCAGUCAGCAGCUUUGAUUUAAUUAAGUCAUAACUUUUCACAGUAAUCAAAAAGUUACUAGUUUGAAUAUAAUUAAUAAAUAGAGGAAAACCGUCAUGCAUUUUUGCCUAACUCAUUCAAAUUUGAUCCUAUAUAAAUAGGUCCCUCCUUACUCAUUCAUUCUACUACACUCUAUUUAUUUUUUGCAUCUUGUCUUUCAUAUUACACCUUCAACCACUUUCUCUUCAAAGACCAGAUACCUUUUUCCUGACUCAGGUAUGUUUUUUUCUUGCUUUUUGUAUAAAUAUACCCGAUUGGUAGUAUACAUUGUAUUACAUUUGGAUUCAUUUCUUUACUUUUUUUUAUGUUUUUGUCAAUUCAUACAUGUUCUAGAUAUGGCUGGUCCAGUUUGGGACGUUGCUAUUCUGCAAGACACCGUGGUGGAACUUCAGAGGCAGGUUAAUAACCUAUAGUGGGAGUUGGACGCCGUGAGAGCAAGGAUGGUCUAGGAUAUUUGCAGGCUGAGGAGGACCCUGCUGCUGCCGGUUGAAGAUUGAUCGGCUGACAAUAAUAAUAAUAAUAAUUAUUAUUAUUAUUAUUAUAUUUUUUUCUCUUUGUCUAAGUAUUUUUUUUUUGGUUGGACAUAAGGAAUAAUUUUGAAUCUAGUAUCAAUAGCAAAAGUUGAAACAUAUUGGUUACCCAUUGGGUUUGUGGCAUGAGCUGAUUUGUGUUGUUACAAAUGGAUUACUCAAUUGUUGCAAUAGAUAGUAGUCUAUUGCAACAGAUAAAUAGUCUAUUGCAACAGAUAAUUAGUCUGAUAUAACAGAUAAUAAGUUUUCUGCAACAGAUAACUAGUCUAUUGCAACAGAUAACUCGUUUGUUGCAAUAAAUUACCCAUUUGUUCGAUUCCUAUUACGAUCACUAUAGAACCAUACAUAUGAAUCCAACAUAUGAGUCUUCUGUUGCAGCAGAUUACUCAUCUGAUGCAACGGAUGAGUGACCUAUUUAACUUGUGGUCUCUUAUGUUGGAUUCAUGGUCGGGUUCUAUCCAAUGUUGAAAAAACAGCAAUAGUUGUGUACCCAGAUGACAAAUUCGACUAAAAAUUAAAAUUUUACUUACCAAAGUCACCUAUCAAGUAAUGCCGAAGUGAAAAGUGAUGUACGAAACAAAAUUUCACCUAAAAAAUGGGUUAAGUCGCAGCAGUAAUGGAAAAAACAACAACAAUGGUCGAUAAGAAAAAGAUGAAGAUGAUAAUGAUGUAGAAGAUGAUGAUAAUGAAGCAGAAGACGAUGAUUAAAGUAGCAACAACAAUGAACCACAAAAAUUGUGAAGAGGGAGAAAAAACAACGGAUGAGAAGAGAGAUAAAUGCACCUUUUUUUUCCUCUGUUUCCUAUUAUAUUAACUAACAUUUGGAUCACAGUGUAAAUUAAAAAACUUGAGGGUUAUUUUCAAACUUUCCCAACUUUCUUAAUUCAUAAUAAAGUAAUUGUCACCUACACUCAAUUAUUAAGACUUGAGUCACUUACAUCAAAUUUUCAAACUUUUUUGUCACUUUAGUUCAAAGUCCCUAUACAUAGUCAAAUAAGUACUCACUUCGCUUCAUCUUGUUAGUUAUAGUUUGACUUUCACAAAGCCUAACAGAAGGGAAUUAAACGACUUUUGAAACUUGUUGUUCUAAACAUAUCAUGCUAUUUGUGUGGAUUAGUUUCUAUGAAUAUUACAUCUAGACGGAGAAAUAAGAAAAUAGUGUAAAUAAAAAUAAAUUGAAAAAGUUUUGUUUCUUGUGAGAAAUUGUGAUUAGCCUUCUAAUUAAAUUAAUCCAAACCUAAUUAACAAUCCAAUAAGUGUAACCUUUUGGAAUUUGUGGCAGACAAGUGUGAAAGUUUAGAUAUUGCAAAAGUAUAUCUUUUAUUCAUAGAGUUGUACCGUAUUUAUAAGAGAAAAGUAAGAUCAGAAUAAGCUAAUCAAUCCCUAAUUCUUGGGAGAUUCUUAAAUCAAGGGAUAUCCUCUAAUCUAUGUCCUAGAAUAAGAACUAAUAUAUUUUACUAAGAUACAUGCUAUCCCAUAAUUAUAGGAGCUGAUUUUAAUCAAAUCUGCCGGUCAUUGUAGAGCAGAUUAUGCCUCAAUCUGCCAGCUCAUUCGACACUCCCCCUCAAGUUGGUAUUUAAAUAUUGAACAUGCCUAACUUGGUAACAAAUUACUCAAAGAUAGUUCCGAAGAAGCCUUUUGUGAAAAUAUCUGCUACUUGUUCAGUUGUUGGAACGAAAGGGAUGCACACACUUCCAUCUUCAAUCUUCUCAUUGAUGAAUUGUCAGUCCACUUCAACAUUCUUUGUUAUAUCAUGUUGAACUAGAUUAUAAGAAAUGAUUAUGGAUGAAUUAUUAUCACAAUACAACUUUAUGGGCAAACUCAUAGGCCUCCUUAGUUCUUUUAAAAAAUAUCUUGAGCUACAAUAUUUCACAAAUACCCUCUAUCAGUAGAUAAAUCAGCCCAAUCCGUAUCUUUAUAAGCUUCAAAAAACUUCUUUGGACAUUCUCUUUAAAGAACAACCCUUUCCCAGGAGAACUCUUUAGAUACCUUAGAAUUUGAUACACAACUUCAUGGUGUUCUUCUAAUGGAGAAUGCAUAAAGUGACUAACUAGUCUCACAGCAAAGGCAAUAUCAUGCCUAGUAUGUGACAAGUAAAUCAACCUCCCUACCAAUCUCUGAUAUCGACCCCUAUCAGUUGAUUUUUCAUUCUUUGCAAAUUUUAGAUUUAGGUCAGUUGGAUUUUCAGAUGGUCUACAACCACUCAUUUUUGUUUCUUUUAAAAAAUCAAUAACAUACUUCAUUUAUGACACUAUAAUCCCUUGUUUGGACUAUGCAACCUCCACGUUGAUAAAAUACAUCAGCAGGCCUAAUUUGCUUAUCUCAAAUUUUGAGGUAAGAUGCUCCUUUAGGUUUUUAUUUCAACCACAUCAUCUUCUGUGAGGGUGAUAUUGUCAAUAUACACUAUAAUAAAUGAUAUUUUUCCUUCUAGUGAAUGCUGAGUGAACAUUGUGUGAUCUGUUUGUCCUUGCACAUAUCCUUGCCUUUUAACAAAUUUAUUAAACCUUUCAAACCAAGCCUUUGGAGACUGUUUUAGAUCAUAAAGAUUUUUCCAAGAAUGAAGAUCUUUGACUUGUACUUCUCUUCAAAACCUGGUAGGGGAUUCAUAUAGACUUCUUUUUCUAGUUGCCCAUUCAAGAAAGCAUUCUUCACAUCCAACUGUGGAAGAGACCAGUCAAGGUUUACCCCGAUUGUCAAUAGAACUCUAAUUGAGUUUAGCUUAGCUACUGGAGCAACGUCUCUAAAUAGUCAAUUCCAUAUAUCUACGUGAACCCCUUAGCUACUGGCGGGCCUUAUACCUCUCCAAGGAUCCAUCUGAAUUGAAUUUGGUGGUCAAUACCUAUUUGCAGCCUACUAGUUUCUUUCCCUCAAGAAAAUGUCUCAUUUUUCAAAGAACUCACAAUUCCUUCAAAAUAGCCUCAUCCACUCGGGAACUCGUAGAGUAUUUGGCACAAUUUUUGGGAUCUCCACACUAGAAAGUUGUGAAGUAAAGGUUGAAUAACUAGGAGACAACUUUUUAUAGGACACAAACUGUCACGACCCAAACUAAGGCCUUGUCCACAAGGGGUAUCCCAAACAACAAAGGCCAGAGAGACCCCUUAUCAUACUAUCAUAAGCAUGAUCCAUAUAUAAAUCAAAGUGUGGAAGAUAUACUGAAAUUCAUGGAUACUUAUAAUACAACUUGUGUAAACAAAAUAUGACAAUACAACACUCAAAUAUCGUCUAUGAAGCCUCUACUAACUACUAACUGUCUAGGCUAGGACAAGGCCCCCGGCUAGACUAUUAACUGGAUUAGAUAAACAUAUGAAUAACAUGCCUUUUAGAAUACGAAUGGCUCACCAACUCUGUCACUAUCCCAUAUGAAAUACUUAUGUGAUGGAUCAUGGGGUUGAACCCCCGAACCUAAAAUAUAGGGGGUCGGUACUCAAAAUUACUGGUAUGUAGAACAAUCCAAAAAUAACACAUACUUCAUGUAAAAUAAGUGAGAGCAUUAUAAAAACAAUUUAUCAUAAAUAUAUAUAAAAACACAUGGUCAAUAAUAUAAAGAUCUACAAUUCAUGUUUGUAAAAUAUUGACUCAACUCUUUAAUUUACUUCUAAGCUAGAUGGUACAUCCAACAUUUCUACAAUACCACGGGCUAUAUGGAAUCCUCCCUUAACUCGGAGGCCAAGCCCCCAAUCUAUGUUUGCCACAAGAGUUGGGGUCAGUAAUAAAAUAAGGUGUACCUCCUUACUGACACAACAUGUUAUGAAAAGUAUGCCUCCUUACUGACAUAUAUACCAUGUGAAAAUAUGACUCCUUACUGACAUACAUAUCAUGAAACCCAUAUUGGCAAAAGAAGAUUUCGAGCUACGGGUUAUCUAAACUCGUGUCUUCUUUGGGUAACCAUCUAAUUCUCUUUAUACCUAUUUUUAGCCUCAUAAAACCAUGAUUCAUGCUUAUAACAUUCUUUUCUUUCAUAUUAAGGGCAUUUCGUAAUAGGUAUAGUUAUACCUAGACUUGCAAGCUAUGUCAUAUCAUAUCAUAUCCAUGGUCUUUUCCUCAAAAAUCAUGUCAAUGACCACCAAAAGAUUUAAACAUCGUGAGAGAGUUCGUAUAUCAAUAUCAUAUGAACUUAUACAAAACACUCUCUUUUCAAUACUUUAACAUGUAGAGGUCAAUUCUUACAUAAAAAACAUGCAAUUCUUCACUAAGAAGCAAUAGCAUUUAGAAUAAUAAUCAGCUCUUUGAGAAAGGUGUAAAAUAACCAUGCAUAAUAAGUAAAGAGGCAUCUAAAACUCAAGAAUUAUCCUUAUUCGUAAAACAUCCCCACUAUUAGUGAUAUGUAAACCUCAUGAUUAAAAAAAGAGGACUUCUAGUUCAUUCUCUCAAAACCCAUUUCAUGAUUCAUAACAUGAUAAUAUCAUAAAUUUCAUGAUACAAGGGGAAUUUCAUAAAUCAUGCUCUUAAAUCACUUUUCUAAACUCAUAAGGUAUGUGCACAUGACCACAAUUCAAAUUCAUGGAAAAAAUCCAUUAAUUUCAUAAUUUCAUCAAACAUGGUUCAUGAUGAAUUCUCUUCAAACAGUUUUAAAAACCCAUUACAUAUACAUACAUAUAUAUCUUUGAACUUUGUUAAAAUGGUAAUCUUAUGCCUAUUAGAUUUAGGAUAUUCCCACAUACCAUUUGAUGGAGUAAAAUCAAAGAGAACGUAGAGAAAUUGGCCUCCUUAGAGAGUAGAACCCUCAAACCCUAGGUAGUUUCUCCCCUCUUGCAUGUGGAAUUAUAUUUGGGGAGUUACAGAGGCAAUGUAACAUUUAUAAGGCCUUAAUUUCAUCCAAAUAGAAUUAGGAAUGGUUAUGGUAUGAUAAAAGACCUUUAAGCCCUUAAAAUAAAUCAAACAGAACACUUUUUGAUGCCCUAAAAAGGCUUUGCAUCGCAUGGACAAAGCAAACAUUAGGAUUUAUGUCGCAUGGCCAAAUCAAAGCUGAGGCAGUGUGCUUUGGAAAUUGAUUUGCGGUGCAGGGCAAUCACAGACCCUGGACAGUGCCUCAUUCAAAUACUCAUAAAUUUUGACCCAAGACUCGAAUGAACGGUAGGUGACAGUGCCUCAUUCAAAUACUCAUAAAUUUUGACCCAAGACUCGAAUGAACGGUAGGUGACGUUGGAAAGAAUACUUGAAGUCUUUAAUUUGAUAUAUAGUAGGACAUAUAACUCUUUAUAUCCUAGGAGAAAUUGUCUCUGGAAUUUGACCCAAGCAAAAUCAUCAACUAAAAGUCAAUCGACAGGAAACUGCUCAACUUCACUUUCGAGCUAGGAGAUUUUUAUAGUGUAUAUUUAUCUCUAAGGAUGUUCCCAUACUAAGUAAAUGUUAUUGAAACUUACAUAUAAGUAGAAACCAUUGGGUUCGGGUCUAUACACGCAGGAGAUGGUUCAACUUUAGCCAGAAAGUGAGGGGUGUUACAUUAUCUCCCCAUUGGGAUCAUUCAUCCCCAAAUGAUGCAUAGAAACUUGUUGAAGCUAUAAAUGUAUGGAAUAAAGAACAUAACCUCACAUUGGACAUUCUUUUUUCAAUAAAAUAUGCAAAGGCGCCAAAAGAGCUUUAUGAUAACCCCUAGCGAAUUAUGUAAGCAUGAAGUGUGAGAUAAUAAGAAUUAAUAUAGAGAUGACCUUGCACAAGAGUUCUAUGGAUCACAAUCAUCACAACAUAGGCAUGGGUUUAUUUGGCAAUAAUAGGCAUUAAUUUACAUUGAUACUUGACAUGAAAUAAGGUCUCAUGGGAGUUAGAAAUAGAAGAAUUCUCUACCUUACAAGAUACAAUGAAUGGACCUUAAACUUAAAGACAUUAUUCGUCUAUGACCCUAACAAUAAAUAACAUACUUAAUUAUUUCCAACUUAUAAUUCCCCAUAACACACCUAACCACAAGAGUUUGAGUUCUAACACAUAGUAAUUCUAUUUUGAAGCCUAACCCAGAGUUAAAAGGUGCUAACUAAAGCUAUGGAACCUGUACUCUACCUCCCAUUAAGAAUAUUACCUCACCUCAUCACUAUAAUUCAACAAACUCGUGUAAUAAUUCAAGGAGUACUAACCACAAAGCAUAUUGGUUUGUGUUUUCAUCUAUCACAAAAUCCAAGCCUAUCAUUACUGCACCCACUUCAUGAAUCUCCCCACUAAGACCAAUAAAUUUGGUCACUCUAACAAAGACUUUCAGGCUAUAUCUCCGUCCUAACUAUUUCACAUAAUGAAAAUUCAUCUCCUUCUUUCCCCCUUCACCUAGAACCUUAGCUCGAGUAGUUUCACCAAAAAUUUAACACAAUAAGAAAACAUUUAGUCCUUUUUCUAAGACAUUACUACGCUUCCACAACCACCAUCAUACUAACAUACGGAGGAUCAUUGAGGGAUCCAAACAUAACCAUCAAGAAUGGAAGAAAUACUAUUUAAUUUUAGCCUAUAUUUGUUGAUCUACUCAAGAUGGGGCAUGAGAUGCCAUAUGUGAUGCAAUAGGCACAAAGUACUACAUACAUUAGAUAUCUAGAUCAUAAAUAGAGAGUCAUUCAGGAAUAAAUAUAGUAUAAUAUGAGUUCAUAGGACUGAUCUUAUGUUAAGAAACAUAAGUGCAUAUAUCAUGAGUUGUAAAACACAAGGCCAAAAUUCAUAAAGUCAAUGAUUGAGACAAAGGUUGAUACUUAAAGCUAUUGCUUCUCAUUUUCAGAACUGAGAUAGUCAUGUGCUUGCAUAAACUUUAUCACUUUGCGUUAAACCCGACAUAAAAUGAAUCGGUAACAUAUAGAAAGCAUAGUUCCUUAGAACUAAACAUGAUAUGAGAUAUGGGUCUUUGUAUCAUAAGCAUCACUACAUAGAUCUUGAAUACUUGAAAGCUUGGAUUACUAGGAGACACUAUUGUUUCUAGUUUGGAAGUCAAAACAUGGACAUAAGUGCAUAGAGAACUCGAAUCAUAGGCAUAGGCAUGACUUGAAUACAUAAGACAUUAGCAUAAUAACCUCUUAAAUUUAAGUAGGAGGGGCUUGCUUGAAUAGGAAUAGAUUUUAUCAUGACUCUUCCCUGAAAUUUACCACCAUGAGAAAAUUUGAUGACUUCCUUAACUCAGUAUCUCCCCCUUAGAUCAAAGUCACAAUCCUAGACUUGAGGAAGUAUCUUCUCAUUAAAUCUACAAGCACAAUACUCAAUAUAAUGGGGUAUCACCAUACACAUAAACGCUAAACUCCCUAUGAUAAACUAUACUCUAAAGGCAUUAUUUUUUGGGAACGCUACUCUUAACUUUCACUAGACUCAAUGUUGCUGAUGUAUUUUUGAGUUCCUAUUGAUUAAUCCAAUCUUGCAUAUUUAGUUGUGUGUCCUAAUUCCAAAAUUUUGAGUGACCUAAAUUUCAUGUAUUUAUUUUUUAUAGUGAUAUUGGAACACUUAAGUAAUUUUGUUCAUAAUUUUCAAGAGUUUAGGUAUGAUUAUUAGCUUACCUUAAAAUGCAUAAAGAGAAAUAAGUUGGUCCUUUAAUUUUUCUAAACCGCCAAAUCCCAAGAAUCCAAAUUUUUUCAAAAAGCUGCCACAACAAUAUCAUCACCACUGUAACUCCUCAUCGUUAUCAUUUCCAUACUUAAAAUCAAUUCCCUUUAUGUUUAUUCUUUCCCCUUCUUAUAUCUACUAUUUUUCUCCUCACACAUUCAUCAUUCCACAAGCAAGAAAACCUUAGUGUUCCUCAUUCAUCUUCUUCUAAUCCAUAAAACCCAAAUAACUCCUCUGUCUCUCCUUCCACAGAUAUCAUUCUUUAUCCCAUCGCUAACACAACACUUUCCAUUCUACCUACCAUUCUAAUCAAACUAUCUAAUUUCACCACUUGGACAAAAUUCAAAAACCCAUUUUUCAAUUUUUCCCUAGUCCUCAGUCCUUUCCUAACCCCACUUCACUAACUCUUAUUCCCUUCCAAAUUAUCAACCCCGAUGAUAUUCCAAUUACAAGUUUGAUUCCCAAAAAAUCAUGAUCUAAACCAAAGAAAACAUAUUCAUCCUCUCCUAUUGUUGUUGAGGACCAUGAUACUAUUGAGCUUUGUCCUUUUAUGACCUCUUCAAUAACUCCUCACACUCUCCAAAGAAAAUAACAAGAAGAGGUAUCUCUAGCUGAAGCACUUCAAGCUAGCAAAAGGAAGUAUAUGGUCACACCUACUCCUUUUCCUCCAUCUUUCUCUCCAGAUGUAAUGCUUUACUUUGUGCAAAAAGGAAAAAUAGUGAAAUACACUAUCCUAAAACCCUCUUCCUUCCUCACAUCCUCGGUUAUGCCAAAGCCCACUCUUGCUUCAAAGUCUUUAUCCUCUUCCAAAUCCACUCUACUAAAAUCCUUUACUCGUUCAAAGAAAUAGGUCCCCAAAACUGUUACUUCUGAUUCCUCUAAUUAUGAUUCACCUCCUGAUAUAUCUUCUAAACUAGAUCCAGAUUUUGAGCUUGAUGAAUCACCUGCAAAUCUUGACUCUUCUACGGAUCAUGUUCUGCACUUUCAAAAGUGCAAGUUGACUAGAGGCCGAAUUGUAAAUGGUUUUGGGGGACCUGAGAUGGGAGUCUGUUAAUAAAAUUAGAGUCCUAGGGGUGGUCACACUUGUUUCUUCAAGGGAAUUCCAACGUAAGUUUGGGAAAUCUGAGAUUUAUGAAUUCUACACCAAUGGGGUUGCUAUUGGAGAGAUGUUUUCUACCACUAUUAGAGGAGUUACUAUUAAUCUUAUUACUAUUGAUAUUUCUAGGAUUCUGAACAUUUCUAUGGGUGGGUUGGGGUCACUAUGUCAAGGUCACUUGGCCUCCAUUUGACAACAUUGCAUGUGCCCUUGACAUCUCGAGGAAGUUCUCUGGUAAUCCUUACUUUGUAAAUCAUCUUAGGGUUCUUAAGAGAGAGAUGUCUCCACUUCUUCAACUUUACUUUGACAUUGUUCAUAAGAUGAUUACUCCUAGAAAUUAAUGAAGAACAGUGGUAAAUUUUCUUGAUCUCAGUCUCAAGGAAUUGCUUGACACUAAAGUGCACAUAGACCUGCCUAGGAUUAUUCUACAGCAUAUGCAAAGGGUUCUUCUCAAAGAUAUCAAUGGUCAUGCCCUCCCAUAUGAAUUCUAGCUUGCUACUAUAUUUGAAGAUUUUAGAGUGCCUAUUCAAGUUUGGUCUCUGCAGACCACCAAAGAUGUUGUAGGGACUGUGAACCAUAUGGAACUAUCUAUUUCAAUGAGGAGUGCUGAUAAUCCUAUGUAAUGAUUAAGGAAUGCUCUUGGUGCUAAAAUUGUUGAGUUAGAGGCUGCUCAAGCUGAACUGGAGGUUGCUCAGGUAGCUCAUAAUGCUGAAAAAACUAGACCUUCUUGAUCAGAUUUUUUUCUCUUCAAGCUACCUUUGAGAGUGAAAGAUCUGUAAAUGCUGAAAUUGUGCAGAAAUUAACUACCCUUAUUCCCUCUUCUUCCCCCACUUAGUUCUCUUCGUAGUGCAUUAGGGAUGUUUUUGUUUUGUGUUGGCAUGUUUCAUAUUUAUUAGUUUUUGGUACUAUCAGUUAUAUCUUGCUCCUGUAUGAGUUGGACUUAAUUACUUCUUGUGUUUUUCUCUUGCUCAACGUAAUGUAUGAUGGUACUUUACUCUGAAUUUUGAUUGUUUUAGUGAUAAACCCAGGCACCAUGGAUUAUUAAACAUUUUUUUUACUUAUUUUGGCCUUGCUUUUCGAUGAUGUCAAAAGGGAAAGAAUAUAUUGAGCAAUGUUUAUAACUCAAAUGACUAACCUAUUUCAUUCUACUAUCCUUGUGUUUAAAUCCUUUAUUGAGUAUGUCAGGAAUUUAAGAAAAAUAUUGUUCUGUUGUGAUACUGUGAAACAUGCACUGGUUUGUCAUCAUCAAAAAGGGGAAAUUUGUUAGAGAAAUGAGGUUUUGAUGAUUGACAUAUGAAUGAAUUAUGAUAUUCAUGCUGGUCCACACAUAUAAAGAAAAUAGAAAUGACUUCAAACAGUUUCACUCUAAAGAACUGAGAAGGAAAGCACCAAUCAGCAAAUUAGUUCAAGAACUUGAAGAAGUCAUAAGUAGAACCUAUUCCUUUGAGUUAAAAGAGUCAUAGACUUUGCGUAAUAGGUUGGUUCUAGAGUUAUAAUAAACUUUAAUUCUAGUCUUAGUGAAUUAUAAACUGAGUUAUGAUUAGUCUCUUCAAUUUAGGGAACUCGAAGGCUUGGGAAUACUUAUCUUGGGAAGAUUUGGGUUAUUUUAGAAAUAAGAGUUAGAGCUUAAUUCCUAGUUUACAAGAGUCUUAUAAUUUGUUUAAUGGAGAAAUUAUAUAACAAGUCUUCCUAUUUUCUUGAUUUGUUCCAACAGAUUACCUAUCAGCUGCAACAUAUAGAUUAUAUGUUUCAACAAAUUGUAUAUUUGUUACGACAGAUAAACCUGAAAACAUCUGCAUAAUGCAACAUAUGACCAACCUAUUCCAAUAGAUAAUCAAUUUUUCACAACAGGUAUUAUAUCUAUUACAACAGAUAUAAAAUCUGUUGCAUUAUAAAAAUUCAACUUUCGCCAGACAUAAAAAUUAUCGUCACUACAUGUACAGUGAAGUGGCUUGAAAUAAAAAAUUGUUAUCGUGUUCGUUUCUGUCUUUGUACAUAUUCUUCUUUAUACACGGGCUCCAAUCAUUUAGUUAGUACCCCAUAAGCCCAUACCUCUUGCAUCUUUCCCACAACGGCGUCACACAUACCGAUCAUUUCUGUGCCGGUCAGCAAACACUCAAUGUAUAAAAGCGAGUACAAUCGCACGCUGCACCAGUUUUAAUUCUUUGGAGCUAGAUGUUCUUAUUUUGACCUUAAAAAACCCAUGAUUCCUUCCUCAAGACUUCCAUCGGCAAAUGAUCCAUCAGCUUACUCUGCGUCAAUAACUUAGGCAACAACUUCAAGAGUGGCUGCAUGUGGGUUAAAAAUGUGUCCUCGUUGAAGAAAGGUAAAUUACAGUCAUAAACCUUAAUUUUUCCCUCGUAGAGUAGUAUCUCAACAGUGAGAAAAUGUUUGACUUCCACGUUCAUGACUGCAAGGAUUCUCUUUACCAUGGUCCAUCUCUGGUCGUGUGGAUAUGGCAUCUUCCCUCUAACAUAGUUAAUCAUGUCUUUAUCCCAUUGGAAUGUAGAAACUAACUUAUCAAAACUCCAGCCACCAUGACCAACUAGCUUACGGAGAUCAUCGUACCUAUCCUUGAAAUUAUUAUAGAAGUUGAGGUCCAUUAUCCUAUCGACAAUAUCAUAAGCGUCUGAGUACGCUAAUUGACUACCCCUUAUGAGGCAGAAAAUUUCAUCAACAUAUUGUGGUAUAAGAAGACAAUUUUAAAUAAGUUAGUAAUUGUAAAGAAGAAAAACACAGUGGAAAGAAUCUGUUACAGAGGGUUCUUGGAAUCAGUUCAUAGAUUACCCAGCUUAUGAAACUUAUGCAACAAAUGUUUAUUAUGUUGCAACAGAAUACCAAUCUAUUGCAAUAAAUUACACAUCUAUUGCAUAGAUUCUUCUUCAUGGAAUAGAUUGGAAUACUAGGUUAACAAAAGUGAACUUACAUUGUCCUCAUACCACUCACGCAUAUUUGUCAUAUUCGGGAAGUCUUUGGCGGCAAAUGAAUGCAUGGUAUAUUAUUUUUGAACCUUUGUCUUUUCAAUCAUAAUUUCUUACAGUUCUUUCUGUUUUUCAUUGCCAAGUGUCGCAUAUAUUUCCACCUUCUUCAGCGGCCCUUGAACUUUAACAACUCUUGGAGCUGGAGGAGUUGCAAUUUUUUUUGUUUUAACAAUAGAGAGAAUUUGUCUAAUGUUCUUCUCUUCCUUCUAACCACCACUAUAGGAAUGUAUGGCUCCCACACCUUGUUGGAUGGUAUGACAUCCCUCCUAGAUUUCAACUCCUCAGCAGCUUUAACAAUAGUCUCUAACUUUUUACAGAGUUUAUACUCUCUGUCCUUGCACAUUUUGUAUUUGCAAUGAGAAUAUGAGGGUGAAGAGGGGUAAGAGAAACUACUAUAUGGGUGGGAGGGACCAGUGUAGGGGUGAGAGGAAACUAUGCAAAGGGCCUUUUCAAAGGUAUUUAUUUUAUGUUGAGAACCAAUAUGCUCAUUAUCACGACUGGCGGUAGUAGUAGCAUCAGGAUGGUUGCCACCAUCAUCAACAACCCCAACAGAAACACCCCCAAAAGAAGCACCCGGAUCUAUUGCAGUUUGAGGUUGGUCAUGAAGAGCUUCAACAUUAGGCUGACCUUGCCUAACUGCUCUUCUUAUGAAUGUUUCUCCAGCUAAUUUCUUCUUUAUUAACUCCACCGUUGGGUCUUCUUUUAUAUUAGCAAGACCUAUAGUAAGAAAAGAAGUCAUCCCCAACUCAACAGUAGGCACAAUCCAAGGAUUCACAACCAAUAAGAAAAGACAAGAGGCAUUGAAAUUAUAUAAUAAUAAUUUGCAAUCAGUUAAAUUACAUGUUAACACAGCCAACUUAUGCAACAGAUGAUCUAGCUAUCGCAAUAGUUGAUCUAUAUGCCACAGCAGAUUAACAAUAUAUUGCAUCAAAUUACCCAUCUAUUACAUAAUUUGCAGUAGAUGGGUAAUGUAUUAAGUCGGGUUCAGAGAACCAGAGAAACAAAUGGCUAAUAUAUUAUAAAAUAUGGAUCGCCUGUCGCAAUAGAUUACCCAUCUAUUGCAAUAGAUUACCCAUCUGUUGCACCAGUUGCAGUUGACGGGUAAUUUGUUGCAACAGACACCCAUCUAUCGAAACAGAUGGAACAUUUGUUUCAAUAUCUUUCUUUGAGGCAAAUUAUUUUAGUUGAAAUAAAAUGUACUGCAUCAUUUGGAGGGUUAAAUAGAUCAGCCUCCUAUUCGUAAAUAUUUUUUUGCUGCCCUUUGCAGCUGCCAACCAUCUAAGGAUCCUUGGAUGAGAAACCUUAUUCGGGUAAUCCUUGAACUAUUUUCGGAAUGGAGGAAUGGCUUCACAUGCCCAAGCCUAAAAAAUAUAAACAGGAAGAAAGCAAAAAGAAGUCAUAAUAUAACUAUAUUCAAUAUAAAUUAAUGGAUGAAUAAAAGUAGUGAUCAACUUUACCAUGAAAGCCCAAGGAAAGCCGUAUAAUGUGAUUUUCCUUAUGAGUAGCUUUGACAGUAAAUAUUGUACAGUCAAGUAGUAGCUGUCAUAUUCCUAGGGAUAAUCAUUGAACUUCUCAAAAUCAUCAGCAAGUACCAACAAAUCAUCUUCAAUGACUUUCCUGAUAUUUCUUGCCAAUAAAACGGAAUGGACAAACCAAACUAAGCAUAAUUUCUCCCUGUAAUGCUUUGGUAUGUCUUUAUCCUCGAGAUCUGCCAUCAAAUCCUCCGCUUUGUAGAUACUACAUCCAACAAUGCCCAACAACCCAUCUUUUUUCCCUUAUAUUUGUUGGACCGUUUGUGGGGCGUUUUCUUGAUGAGAGGUUCUUUUGGACAAUUGCAUCUCAAACUCGUCACUAUGGCAAACUCUUUCAACCCAAAACAAAUCGACAUGCCAUAGUAGUGGAUCCAGAUUUCAUCCAUCUUUAUUUUUCCCUUCUUCGGAUCUUUAUCAUCCCCCACGUAUUUGAUCCCGCGCUUGAGAAGACCAUAUACUAUGCUCAUUGGGAAAUGGAGAGUACAGUCCUCAGGCAACUCAAGAAAGUAUUCAAAGCAGCUCUUGUUAAAAAGUUCGUCUAAGUUUUCAUUCUUCAUACUACUCCUAAAUUCAUCAAAAUGUUUCCCCAAUUGACAUUUAAGUACAAGAUCACCAGUUACUUUGUUAGGGCUAUCCAUCGGCAUCGCAACUCGAAACCUAUCGAUACUAAUAUUUUUGACAGGAUAAUGCUGGGAUUUCAAUAUUAAUUCAUGCCAAAUUAGGGAGAAGGAGUUAUCACUAUCCUCAGCUUCAUUUUUCCCUGACUGAGAUUGUUUAGGAAGUUCCUCUGAAUCUAUCUGUACUCUAGCCAUUUUUGUUGGGUGGUCAGAAUUUGAUCCACUUUCAGUUUUUUUUUCUUUUGGGAGACAUUUUUUAACUACAAACAAUAGAAAAAUAAAAAAAUACAUUGCAUUUAAUGUCUGCAUAAUUUUUUAAAAAAAGGUAAGGAAAAUUUCAAUAAAUUAUUCUAUGCCACAUUACAAAAAAAUUCUCCAACGGAUAACCCAUCAGUUGGAACAGAUGGGGAAUCAAUUUGAAGACCUAUUUAAUAUCUCCCAAAAGAUCUUCCACCUGUUGCAACAGAUGGACCACCAACACCACAACCAAUGCCACCACCAAUGCCAUUAAGACCACCACCAAUGCCACCAAUACCAACACUAAGACAACCGACACCAUCACCAAAAACACAAAUAUCGACACCAACAACAACAUCUGCCAACAAAACCACAAACAUCAUGCAACAAUACCACGAUAGUCAACAAAACACUGAUACAAAAACUAGGAUUUUUUUUUUGUGCUUCUUACUUUUUAGCGUCAAAACACAAAAUUGUUAACUCAUAAAAUUGUUAACUCAUUCUCAAAGAUAAUACAACAAAAAGUCUUCUUUUUUAUCAUUAACUAAAAAUCCCUAAUUUUUAGAAUAAAAAACAAAUGUAGAACUCUUAUCAAACUAUGUUACCUGUGAAUAUAGAGAAAACAACAGAUACAAAUGAGAAUAAAGUAAAAAAUAACAACUAUGUGAUCGAAAAUAGGAAAAAAAUUGAUCUAUUUUGAAGGGUUGAGCAAUAUGUUGAUUAGUUGUUGACUGUAUUUUUUAGAGAGAGAGAGAAAGAGAGAGAAGAGAGAGAACAUAAGAUUUAAAAUGAGGUAAAGUUUUCCCGCAAAUAGAUGAUUUGUAUGGGUUGAUUUAUAAUUUUGAAAAAGAAAGACAAGUUUUGAAAUAGUUAAUUUGGUCCGAAUUGAUCUUUGAUCUUAAUUAAUUUUUAAAAUUGCAAAAGAUAUCGUUUUUAAAAUAUUAAGUUAAUGAUAACUCAUUUCAACUUAGAGUGAUCGAUCGACGACUCGGGUCGGGUGAACGCAAUACCAACACCAUGCAAUUACAACGACUCAAUUGAAGUUGUAGUUGACCCUAUGAGAUCAUUCAUCCCUAGUUCCACCUAAAUCAAUUUAGGUACUAUUAGUAUUAACAUUAAGUUAAUGAGAACUCAUUUCAAAUAAGAGUGAUCAAUCGACGACUCGGGUCGGGGUGAACGCAAUACCAACACCAUGCAGUUGCAAUGACUCAAUUGAAGUUGUAGUUGACCCUAUAAGCUCAUUCAUUCCUAGUUCCACCAAAAUCAAUUUAGGUACUAUUAAUCUUAACAUUAAGUUAAUGAGAACUCAUUUCAACUCAGAGUGAUUGUGUAAUGCCCUGAAUCUGGUAUCCGAAAUGUUGCACGGUGCUCAUGACCCCAAAGGACAACAAGCUAACCCAUGACUGAUAUAUGUACUUAUACACUGCAUAAUAUAACAUGAUAAUGCGGAAACAUACACUGAAAGGCCAUAAGGUUCAAUACUGAACAUAAAUGAAAUAUAUAACAUUUGUGUGGGGUAUUAGAAUACCCAAAACAAAACUAAAAAUACUAAAUUCUGAAACAUGAUAGUCUGCAUCUAGUUUGAAAGCCUCUAAUGUCUGAAUAAUUUAAAUAAGGAGUUGAUGGGACAUGUCCCUUACUAACUCCAACUAAUAAGCUAAUCAAUGAAAUAGUAAAGAAAUAAUCAUGUCCUCAAAGGAUAAGGACUCAUUUCUAACUUUGACUGCUGAAACUGAGGUGUACUGUUGGUCUGGAGCUCGUGUCUCUGAACCUAUGGUGUAACAUAAGAAGAAAGCACCACAGCACAAAUGCGUCAGUAUAAUAAAAUGUACUGAGUAUACAUGUGAGGUAGGCUAUAUGCAAGGGUUCACAUGCAUGAUUAAUGCUAACUGACUAUCUAACAUGAACGUGAGAGUGCAUGCAUAAAUACGUAACUGUAACUACAACGUGAUAACAUGAUUACUGAAUCUGAAUACUGAUAAUAUGACAUGUUAAUAAUUAAUAUAACUGAUAACAUGAAAGACUGUAUCUGAAUAUAACUGAUAAUAUGGGUAACUAUAUCUAACAGUCCUGAAUCUGAUGGAACUAUUUGAGUUUCGUACUGUAUCUAAGUUGAUUGUAUCUGACAUUCCUGAAUUCUGUAGAACUAUCUGAGUUCUAUUAUUGAGACUGAUUGACUGUAUCUAAUAGUCCUAAAUUCUGUAAUUGAAACUGUAGGAAGUAGUGAUUUAACAUGUCCCUGAUACACCAUUAUGGCUGAGUUGGGGUCCAAUCUGUAAUUCCAAUUAGAAGGGUAUCAAUACCGCGCCACUGGUAAGGACAAGUUAUGGGUGACCCUCAUCUGAUAGUGUCCCCUAUACAAGAAUGGUGGGCCCCUUAUCUGACAGUGCUUAUCCACCUCAUCAACCCUUAUCCGAUAGUGUUGAUAUCUUAACCUAUGCUGGCUACAUAGUUCUGGAAUGUAAGGAUGACUACUAAGGAUCACACCCUCAUCUGAUAGUGUGUGUCCCCAUCCUUAGGUUUACUCAGUUCUAAUUUCUACUCCCAUUUGAAUAGACACUGAACAUGAUUUAACUGAACUGAACAUGGGCUGAAUUACUGAAUUUCGUUGACUGACAGAAUACUACUGAUAUUUGACAACUGGCUGAGUUCAUGAGAUCAUAGAGAUUUCCUGAGUCAUAAAACUGUCUGAAGUCUAAGAAUUCAUAGCUUGACUGAGAGUAUCGUGAAAAUAUGACAUGUCUCUAGGAACAUAGCUAAUGUUUUGGGUACAAGUACCCCCAAGACUCGAUAGAAGGAAACUGACAAACCAUGAUUUACUUGAACACAUGACUGACAUCAUAAUUCAUAAUACAUUCAUUGAAGUAUUUCGUCAAACAUAUGAAAGGCAUAAACUUGUACAUACAUGGGGAUCUUAUGACAUCAUGCUAGUUAAAAAUGUUUCCUUCAUUUAGGCAUUAAAUCAAACAUAUUGCAGGCAUAGUACAUGUAACCAUCAUUGUAUAACAAUUAAACAUCAUGGUUCACUUCUGAUUUCAUCAUUCAAGGGUAAAAUCAUAGGGUUGUAUGAAUCUAUAUCUAUAAUAAUUGAACCCACAUAGAAAUUAUCACCCAACAUGGAGUAGAAUUCAAUUUCUUAUUUAUUAACAUGAACAAGAACAGCCCAAUCAUGAAAUUCAUAAAGAAGAUUCAUAACUUGAAUUUAGAAAAGGGAUUUUUGGACUUCAUGAACGAAAGAAGUCCAUGAAUGAAUACUAUGUAUACCUGGGUAAAGAUUCUUAAUGUUCUUGAACUUGAAGAAUUGGACUUCCCUUAGUCCUUGAAGAAGAUUGGAUUUUGUUCUUAGAGAUUUAUGUUAGAAAGAAACCCAAAUAUUUGUUGUGAGAUAAUUAUGAACACAAUAGCUGAAAUCGGAUAUAAUUAAGUAUAUAUAGGCGAGUGGUAAAUGACCAAAAUACCCCUACUUAAAUGACUUAAAAUAGCUGAGCGAGUUAUCCAACGGUGGGGUGCGACGGUCCAUCGCUGGAUAGAUGAUCGAUCAGACAUCUCCGUCAAAUUGAGACAAAACUGGGACUCACUACCAUAGAGCGACGGUGUGGUGUGAUGGUCCAUCGCUGGGUCGACGAUCCAUCGAACAUUGCCGUCGUACUUUUCUAGAAAACUGAUUCACUGCUUCAAUGCGACAGUCAUGCCCGACGAUCCAUCGCUUGUCCGAUGGUCCGUCGCCUGCACCGUCGUACUUGGGUUGUUUUUCUGCCUUUUGUAUUUCAGCCAUAACUUCCUCAUCUGACACCAGAUUUUGAUGAAGUUAGUAUCGAUGGAAAGCUCAUUCAAUUUCUCAUGUGAUAGAAAGUGAAAAUCUUAAAAAUACCACAUCUACAAGAAUGAAUUUAUAAUUCAAAGCAAGUUCUAACAUCCUUGAGAUAAUUUCAAGCUAAGAAAAAACACAGGUAUUAAAGAUUGAUCGGCAACUCGGGUCGGGAUGAACGCAAUACCAAUACCAUGUAAUUUCAAUGACUCAAUUGAAGUUGUAGUUGACCCUAUAAACUCAUUCAUUCCUAUUUCCACCUAAUUCAAUUUAGGUACUAUUAAUAUUAACAUUAAGUUAAUGAGAACUCAUUUCAACUCUGAGUGAUCGAUCGACGACUCAGGUUGGAAUGAACGCAAUACCAACACCAUGUAAUUGCAACGACUCAAUUGAAGUUGUUAUUGACCCUAUGAACUCAUUCAUCCCUAGUUUCACCUAAUUCAAUUUAGGUACUAUUAAUAUUAAUAUUAAGUUAAUGAGAACUUAUUUCAACUCAGAGUGAUCAAUUGAUGACUCAGGUCGAAAUGAAUGCAAUACCAACACCAUACAAUUGCAACAACCCAAUUAAAGUUGUAGUUGACCCUAUGAGCUCAUUCAUCCCUAGUUCCACCUAAAUCAAUUUAGGUACUAUCAAUCAAAGUUAAUGAGAACUCAUUUCAACUCAGAGUGAUUGAUCGAUGACUCAGAUCGGGAUGAACGUAAUACCAACACCAUGUAAUUUCAAUGACUCAAUUGAAGUUACAGUUGACCCUUUGAGCUCACUCACCCCUAGUUCCACCUAAAUUAAUUUAGGUACUAUUAAUCUUAACAUUAAGAUAAUGAGAACUCAUUCAUCCCUAGUUUCACCUAAAUUGAUUUAGGUACUAGCUUAACAUUAAGUUAAUGAGAAUCUUUUCAACUCAGAGUGAUUGAUCGAUGACUCGGGUCGGGAUGAAUACAAUACCAAUACCAUCCAAUCGGAAAGACUCAAUUAAAGUUGUAGUUGACCCUAUGAACUCAUUCAUUCAUCCCUCGUUUCACCUGAAUCAAUUGCAAUAAAAUCUUUUGGACCAAACGACUGAGCUGUUGGAAAUUUCUAAUAGAUAUUCAUAUUCCUUGCAACAGAUGACAUAUCUAAUUUAAUUAUCAGGUAGAUAUUUGCAUCUUUUGUGACAGAUGACUGAGCUAUUAGAAAUUUCCAAAUAGAUAUUGAUAUUUGUUGUCACAGAUGAAUGAGCUAUUGGAAUAUUUAAACAGAUAUUGAUAUCUAUUAUGAUAGAUGACAUAUCUGAUUUAAUUAUCAAAUGGACAUUUGUAUCUGUGAUCUGUUUAGCUUUUUAAACAGAUAUUUGUAUCUGUUGUAAUAAAUUACUAUGUUGUUGGGAUUUUUAUACAGAUAUUGCUAUUUGUUGCAACAGAUGACAUAUCUGUUUAAAAUAUUUUCUUUCUUUUAAUUUUAAAGCGACCUUCUGUCCGAGUAGAUAAAGUAGUACUACAAAAUGUAGUAAAAAAUAAAGAGUCUCGAGUUUCUUGGAUAACUCAAAAAUGAAUUCAUUGAGUACUCUUAUCUUGUCUUUUUUAUGUCACUAGUAUUCCUCGUUCCCAUCAAAUUAUUAAUGAAUAUUAAUUAUAUUAAUUAAUAAAUAUUGAAACCCAAGUCUACGUACACAAUACAUCUAGAAUUAUCUCAUCACUCCUUCAGCUUCAGCCCUAAAUUUAUUUUAUUCAUCUCUCAUCUUUUUCUUUCUCUUCUCUUUAGGGUUAUCACAGCCUUUUUUCUCUCUUUUAUUUUCUCAUUCUCAUAAAGAUCCUUUCGAAUCUAAACCAAUUCAUAUCUUUCCUCAACUGAAAUUUUUGUUUUGAUCCCCUUUUGACAUUAAGGUAUGGUUUACUAUUGCUCUUUCUUUCUCGUCUUCUUCUUUGCAAGUUAUUUUCAUCUAUUUUUUUAUUUAAUUAUCAUUUACCCAUAUUUAUUUUUAAAAAUUAAAGGAACUUUUAAGUGUUGAAUAAAUGAACCAAGAAUUUUUAUUACAAUAUGCGAAAAAAGUAUUCUGUUGGGAGAAGUUUAAAAGCUUUGUUGGCAGUAUCAUUUUUUUGUAUGUAUUUUGUUUGUUUCUUUAUUGUUUAUGAUGUUAUUGAUGUUGUUGGUGGGGUUGGCAUUGUUGGAACUUGUGGUGUGGUGUUGUUGAUGGUGUUGGAACAAAGAAUAUUGCUUCUUUAUUGUUGAUGGUGUUGGAACAAAUAGUUGAUUUUUUUUAUUUGUUGUUUCUUUGUAGUUUAUGUUGUUAUUGAUAUUGCAACAGACGGAGCAACUGUUGGAACAAAUCAAACCAUCAGCAAGGCUGGUUUGAUGUAUUCCAACAUACUCCACAUCUAUUGCAAUAGACUCCACAUCUAUUGUAUCAGACUCUAUAUUUGUUACAUCAGACUCCAAUGUAUUGCAACAGACUCCACAUCUGAUGCAACAGACUCCACAUCUGAUGCAAUAGAAUCUACAUAUAUUGCAACAGAUAGAUAAUGUUCUUUCUGUUACAUCAAUUUUUUCCUCUUCAUAAUAGAUAUAAGGAAUUGAAAGUUGAUCAACUUUUGCCCGACCAUCACAAAAGCCUGCAGUAAAGAUGGGUUAGGAGGAAUAAGUUGCAUGCAGAUGGAACCACUUCAUAUGUGGGAGGUAUGUAUUACUGAUAAUGUUAUCGUGGAAACACACAUAGUACAUUGAUUUUGUGAAUGUUGUUUUUAUCAAUUUUCAUAGAUCAUUCAAACAAGAUAUCUGCAAUUUUACAGUUAAGUUUGGUAGGUCCGAACUGAUAAGGCUGAGGGACCAUGAAUAUGACUCUGAUUCCUUGUUAAGAUUUAAUGUCGAUUGUUUCUCAAGUUUAUGUGUCAUGCAUUGUGAAGGGAUCUAGUUUUGAUGUCACUGUAAAGAGAUUCAAUAGUAAUUGGACUAACUUUUAGGGUGCAUUGGACUCUAAGAAGGCCUUUGAAGCCUAGCACUGCAUCUAACAAGAAUGGUAAACCAAUAUAGUUAUUGCCCUAGCCUAAAUUUAUAUGGUUGGGUUACUCAAGGUGAUGAUUAUAUGCCAGAAUGGACAGUAGGAAAAUGCCUUUGAGAAAAAAUGGGUGGUUGAUGAAAGACUAUAUCAUCUGAGAGCUAAUUGAGGAGGAUACAUAGGGUAGAAAGUAUCUUCUAGAGAAUCUAGCUGAUGAAACUAUCUUAAAACAUGAGAAAUAUGUAUCAAGUGCAAAUAUGAAAUUGUAUCUGGUAAUGAAAAAUCCGUCUGUUGUUUCUCUAAGAGAAAAAUAAUGCAGAUGGUAACUUUCUUAGGGAGCUGCGACUAGGUAGCAUGGUCGGGAUUAUCACCUAGAUAGAAAAUAGUAGAAGACCAAGAGAGCAGUCUUACGGGCAUCGAUGGUUGAAAUAAUGUAUAGUAAGUCUAGAAAACUUGUGCCAAUAGCAACUGUAGUUAAAGUAAGGAAUCUAAGCGAAGGAGGCAAUUUCUGAAUUUUAAAUUACAUCUCAUGCCUUCUUGUUUAUGGUUCCGAUUAGGUCCACUUCUAUUUACCUGAUCGGAACCACAAACAACAUUAAAAGGCAAAUUGAGUAUCAAUACUUCCUUAGCAAUAUGGUUAUGAUUGAUUGAGUUUUAUAGCCUUAGCAUGCUUUCAACAUAUCUUGGAGAAGAUUGAAGGCUUGCUCUAGUAUGUGAAUUUCGAUAAUUUUCAACCUUGCCUCCAACUUGCUAAUUUGGUAUUCAAGCUUGUCGUUGUCGUCUUUGAAUUCGGUAUAGAUUUCUUGGUCUCUUAUGAACUUGAUCAGGAACACCAUUUUCGAAGUUAUGUCAUUCUAGAAUCCCUUUAAAACACUUUCUUUAGAAGCCUUAAAGGAUACAUAUAGGGUCAUUGUGUAUGUUUUUAGGUCAAAAUGUGUUGAUACACACUCAAGAUGUGGUCCCAACCAUCAAACAACUCACUUUUGUCGAGCGUUUCUCAAUGCAUCUUUCCCAACCAACCUUCAAGGAAUUUGAUAAAUUAAUAAGCAAGGAGUUACGUAACAUUUGAUCUAAACCGACUCUACCAAGCCUAUCAAACGUUACGUAACUCCAGGCUCAUUACCCUAUCAAAAAACUUUGCUCAAGUUAGUCGACAAAUCAAAUAAGCUCAAUCUAUCAGUCUUUCUGUUGAUCUCUCUUCUCCAAUAUAGAUGACAAGAUAUUCGCCAUGCAAAAUUCUACACCAUAGCCAGAAAUGCUUAUCAGGGCGCAAGUCUUCAGAAGUCAUCAACAAUAAUCUCUCAAUAUCAAGUGAUAUUGAGAGAUUCCUAGUCAUACCUUCCUAGGACUUUUUCUACGGCAAGAAUUUAUGUUGAUGACAAGAUAUCUGCCAUGGAAAAUUCUACACCGUCAGCAGAAAUUCAUGCCAGAGCAAAAAUCUUCACAAGGCAUUAUUAAUAAUCUCUCAACAUCAAGGAAGUAUUGUACGAAAGUCUUUAGAAAACAUUCAAAAAUGAGGAAGCUUUCAGCAAUGACUACACAUAAUUACCAUCAACAACCUCACCAGAUUCACUCUUAAUUCAAAAGAAAAGGUAGAAAUAUUUUUAUUUGCAUUUGUAUGUUAACAAACCAGACAAAGAUGAACUAAAUCUAGCAUACUAUAUUUAGUUCAUCUUUAUUUGGUUUGUUAAAUAAAUAACAUGCGAAUGCAAAUGAAAAUAUUUUUGCCUUUAAUUUUGAACGAGGAGAGAAUCUAGUGAGGUUGUUGAUGUCAUAAUUAUGUGUAGUCAUUGCUAAAAACUUUCUUAUUUUUGAAUGUCUUCUGAAGACUUUCGUACAAGAAUUCCUUGAUAUUGAGAGAUUACUAAUAAUGUCUUCUAAAGACUUUUGCUCUGGCAAGAUUUCUACUAAUGGUGUAGACUUUUGCAUGGUAGAUAUCUUGUCAUCAGUAGAAAUUCUUGCCUUAGAAAAAGUCCUGGGAAGGCAUGACUAGGAAUCUCUCAGUAUCACUUGAUAUUGAGAGAUUACUGUUGAUGCCUUCUGAAGACCUGUGCCCUGAUAAGUAUUUCUGGCGACGGUGUAGACUUUUGCAUGGCGGAUAUCUUGUCAUUUAUAUUGGAAAAGAGUGAUCAGUAGAAAGGCUGAGAGAUUGAGCUUGUUUGGUUUUUCCACUAACUCGAGCAAAUUGUUUUGAUAGGGUAAUGAUCCUGGAGUUACGUAAUGUUUGAUAGGCUUGGUAGAGUUGGUUUAUAUCAAACCUUACGUAACUCCUUGCUUAUUAAUGUAUCAAAUCCUUUGAAGAUUGGUUGAGCAAGCUGCAUUGAGCAACGCUCGAUAAAAGUGAGUUGUUCAAUAGUUGGGACCACAUCUUAAGUGUGCAUCAACACAUUUUGACCUAAAACAAACACAGCGACCCUCCAUGUAUCCUUUAAGGAUUCUGAAGAAAAUGUACUGAAGGCCUACUUCAAUGCCAUAAUUUUGAAGGUAGUGUUCCUGAUCGAGCUCACAAGAGACCAGGAACUCUAUACCAACUACAAAGACAGCAACGACAAGCUUGGUAAGAUGGAGGCAAACUUGAAAAUUAUCGGGAUUCACAUACUACAGCAAGCCUCUGAUCUUCUCCAAGAAAUGUUGAAAGCAUGCUAAGACAAGAAAACAUAAUCAAUUAAUCCAUAUUACUAAGGAAGUAAUAAUACUUGAUUUGCCUUUCAAUCUCGUUUUUGGUUCCGAUCAGGUCAGUAGCAGUGGACCUAAUCAAAACUACAAACAAGAAGGCGUGGGAUGCAAUUUAGAAUUUAGAAAUUGCCGCCUUCACUUAGAUUCCUUACUUUAACUGCAGUUGUUGUUGGCGCAAGUUUUCUAGACUUACUGUACAUCAUUUCAACCCUCGAUGCCCAUAAGGCUGCUUUCUUGGUCUUCUGCUAUUUUCUAUCUAGGUGAUAAUUCUGACCAUGCUACCUAGUCCCAUAUCAAAGUGUUCAUCUGCAUAAAUUUUCUUUCAAAGAGACAACAAACGAAUAUACAUUACCAGAUACACUUUCAUAUUUGCACUUGAUUCAGAUUUCUUAUGUUUUAAGAUUAUUUCAUCGGUCAGAUUCACUAGAAGUUACUUUCUACCCUAUGUGUCUUCUUCAAUUAGCUCUCAAAUGAUAUAGUCUUUCAUCAACUCCCCUUUCCCUCGUAGGCAUUCUCUUUCAUUUUCUUCUGGCAUAUAAUCAUCUUUUCGAUCAACCCUUUCAUAUAAAUUUGGGCCAAGGGAAUUUCUAUUGGUUUUUUGUUCUUGUUUAAUGCAGUGCGAGACUUCGAAGCCCUUCUUAAAUUCUAAUGCACACUUAAAGUUAAGUCCAAUCGCUAUUGGAUCUCUGCAAUGACACCAAAUAUUGAUCCUUUCACAAAACUUGACACACAUAAACACGAGCAACAAUUAUCAGUAAUUCAUAACAAGGUAUCUGCACCAUCUUCCUGGGGCCCUCAGCCUUAUCAAUUCGAACCCAUCAAACUUAACUAUACAAUGCAGGAUCUUGGUUGAAUGAUCAGUGCCUAAUCGGUUAAAAACUGCAAUCACAAAAAUACUGUACUUUGUUGUGUUGUCCCGGUGACCUUAUCAGCAAUACUUACUUAACUCCCACACAUAUGAUAGUGAAUCCAUCUGCAUGCACCUUAUUUUUCCUAGCCCAUCUAUGGCUUAAAUUAAAUAAACAGAUGACUAGCAAGUGGCAAUAGAUGCCACAUCUGUUUAAAUUGUGAAACAAUUGCAGACAUCUAUUAUAACAGAUGAUCAAUCUAUUGCAACAUAUGACAUAUCUGUUGGAAAAGCAAACGGAUAUCUCCAUCUGUUGCAACAGAUUGUCAAUAUGUUGUAAGUUAUCUGACAGAUAGAAUAUAUUUUGCAACAGAUUACCCAUCUGUUAGAUUUAUUUUAAAGCAAUUUUUUUCUUUCCGAAAUACAAUAAAAGAUAAAAUGUUGUAUUUAGAUCCAUUUUUUUAAUUUAUAUAUUUGAAAAGUCACCAGUUUUAUUUAAUUAAGGGAUAUGAACAGUCGUGAAUUUUUAUUUGACUAACCUCUUUCAAUUCAAUCAUUUAUAAAUAGGUCCCUCCGGCCUACUUACUCACUCUCACUCGUUCAUUCUACUACACUUACAAUAAAAAUAUGGCUGAUCCAGAUUCAUACAAGAAGAUUCAUAUCGAGUCCUUACGGGAACUUCAAAGGCAGUUUGAUGAACUCCAGAGGAAUUUGGCCGACUUCGGAGCAAGGCCGAGGAGGGCUCUGCUGCUGCCGGCAUAAAAUUGUUCGGUUGACAAUAAUAAUGUAAUAAUAAUAAUAAUAAUAAUAAUAAUAAUAAUAGAAAUGAUAAUAAUAAUAGUAGCAAUAAUAAUUAGGCUAUGUUUUUUCUUUUAGCGUGUGUAUUUUCCUUUUUAUAUCGGAUCUACCUAAGGGAUUCAAAAAUCUAUGUUUGGUUUGGUCGACUUUGAAUUUUUAAUUCUUAUUUAAUAUUUAAUUAUCAUUCUAUUUAUUCCUUAUUCUCAACCUGACGAUGGUUGGAGGUAGGGAUUGAGCAUUUGUGGCAACAGAGUUUAAUCUGAUGCGACAGAUGGAUCAUAUGUUGCAACAGGCGAUUAUUAAUAAAAAAAAAGGUUUAUUGUUGAGAGGGUGGUGAAAAGUCAUGAUUCUCCUAUUAUUUAAUAUGAAAAAUAAUUUUUAAAUAAAUAACAAGGAACCAAAUGACAUACACAAUUUAUAACUGUAAAAGAAAUAUUAUUUAAUACAAAAAAGUCACAACAUUAGAUUAAUUAAGUUAUAUGAUGAUUGUUUAUUAAGAAAAAGGUGAACAGUUGUAACCGUGACUUUUUGUCUAAACACAUUAAACAAACAAACAAUGUUGCCGAUGCAUCAAAUUCCCCAUUUGUUGCGACUAAUGAAUCAGCUAUUAGAAAAAAUCAAAAAAACUUCUAAAAUAGAUGGUCGAUUUGUUACAACAGAUGGUAUAUUUGUUGCAACAUAUGUGUUAUUUGAUACAACAAAUAUACAAUUUGUUGUCAUAACUCAAUAAAAAUGGUUAUUAUUUUAUUAAAGAAACGGUUAUUGAAAAGGUGUCUUCAAUUUUUAAAUUGAGAAAAAGGUUAUUUAAAUUUAAGAACUAAUUAAUAAUAAUAAGUUGAAAAGUCAUGGCUUGUCACAAUAAUAAAAAACUCACCAACUUGAUUUAAUUAAGUCAUUUCUUUUCAUAGAAAACAAUAAGGAAAUAAAUGAUAAACACAAUUUAAACCGUAAAAAAAUGGUUAUUUAAUUUAAAUAAUUGGUGUUAAUAUUAAAUAGGCGUUAUUUCUUUUCACAAAAAAUAUUUUUAUUUUAAAAUCUAUUUUAUUAUUUUAUAUAAUAAAAAAGUUAGAAAAUUUGGAUUAAUGAUAUGAUGAUAAUUUAUAAAAAAAAAAAAAAAGAUAGAUUAUAUAUUGCAAUAGAUAGAUUAUCUGAUGCGACAGGUUCUAUAUUUGUUGCAACAGAUGAUAUAUCUGUUGUCACAGAUGAAUUAUCUGAUGCAACAGGUAUAGAAUCUGUUGUCAUAACUUAAUAAAAACGGUUUCUGAAAAGAACUAAUUAUUAAUAAUAAUAAGCUGAAAAGUCAUGACUUAUCACAAUAUUGCUUAAUUUAAUUAAGUCAUAAUUUUUUACAGUAAUCAAGAAUGUCAUUAAUAAAUGGAGGUGAACAAUUGCGCCUUUAAAUCUACUUUAUUAAUUUAUAUAAUAAAAAAGUCAAAAAUUUUAGAUUAAUUAGAUUAUAUGUUGCAAUAGAUAUAUUAUCUGAUGCAACAAGUUUAUUUGUUGCAACAGAUGAUAUAUCUGUUGUCACAUAUGAGUUAUCUGAUGCAACAGAUAUAGAAUCUGUUAUCAUAACUCAAUAAAAACGGUUCUUGAAAAGAACUAAUUAAUAAUAAUAAUCUGAAAAGUCAUGACUGAUACAAUAUUACUUAAUUUAAUUAAGUCAUAACUUUUCACAUUAAUGAAAAAUGUCAUUAAUAAAUAGAGGUGAACAGUUGCGCCGUUUUGCCUAACACAUUCAAGUUCAAUCCUCUAUAAAUAGGUUCCUCCUUAUUUAAUCAUUCAUUCUACUACACUCUAUUUAUUCCUUACUCUUGUUACACCUUAGACUACUUUCUCUUCAAGGACUUGAUAGCUUUUUCCAGUCUCUGGUAAGUUUUUUUCUUGCUUUUUGUAUAAAUACACAUUGUAUUACAUGAGAAACGAAUUCUUUCUUUACUUUUUUUUUCUUUUUAUGUGUUUUGUCAAUUUAUGCGUGUUCUAGAUAUGGCUGAUCCAGUGUGGAUGUCACUAUUUUACGAGACGCCAUGCAGGAACUGGUGAAGGAGGUUCAUAACCUACAGUGGGAGUUGACCGCCGUCAGAGUAAGGAUGUUGUAGGAGAUCCGCAGGCUUGGGAGGGUGCUGCUGCUGCCGGUUUAAGAUUGGCCGGCUGGCCAUAAAAAUAAUAAUGAUAAUGAUGAUAAUAAUAAUUAAGAUUAUUGUUUUCUUUUACCUAUGCAUUUUUAUUUUUAUUUUGUUUAAUAAAAAUUUUAUGUUUGAUUCACUUUGACUUUUUAAUUCUUAUUUAAUUUUCAUUCUAUCUAUUUCUUCUUUUCAACAAACAUGUCUACAAUUAAGGAAUAAUUUGAAUCCAGUAUCAAUAGCAAGAGAUCAACAUAUGAGUUAUCUGUUGGGUUUGUGACAAGAGUUGUAUUGUGUUGUUCGGAACAAAUCAUUCAUCUAUUACAACAGAAUAAUUAUCUGUUGCAACAGAUAAAUAUUCUUUUGCAACGGAUAUAUAUUUUGUUGCAACAGAUUACUUGUCUAUUAGAACAGAUAACUAAUCUGGUGCAACAGAUUAUUUAUCUGUUGGAACAGAUUACUAAUCUGUUGGAACAGAUUACUAAUCUGGUGCAACAGAUUAAUUGUCUGUUUGAACAAAUUACUAAUCUGUUGCAACAAAAUAUCCAUCUAUUCGAUUCAUAUUACGGGCACCUAGAACCAUAAACAUGAAUCUAACAUGAGUCUUUUGUUGCAACAGAAUAUUUAUAUGGUGCCACAGAUGAUGGAUCUGUUUAAACAGAUUUAUCUUAUGUUGCAUUCAUGUUCGUUGCUUGCUAUUGUUGAAAAAAGAGCACGGUAGCAAUUACCCGGAUGACAAAUUCAACUAAAAAGUAUAAUUUGACUUACCAAAGUCUCCUCUCAAUUAAAUGUCAACGUUGAAAGUGAUGUACGAAACAAAAUUUGACCUAAAAAAUUGGUCAAAGAGCAGUAGUUGCGGUAAUAACAACAACAAUAAUGGUCAAUAAGAAGAAUAUGAAAAUGAUAAUGAAGUAUAAGAGGAUGAUAAUGAAUCAGAAGAAGAUGAAUAAAGCAGCAACAACAAUGAACAACAAAUAUCGCGAAGAGAGAAAAAUAACAACGGAUGAGAAGAUAGAAAAAUGCACCUUUUUUCUCUUCGUUUCCCGUUAUAUUAACUAACAUUUGAAUCAAAGUAUAAAUUUACAAAUUUAUGGGUUAUUUUAAAAAUUUUCAAACUUUCUUAAUCCAUAAUUAAGUAAUUGUCACCUCCACUCAACUAUUAAAACUUGUGUCACCUACACCUCAUUUUAAAAUAUUUUUGUCACUUACAGCCCAAAGCCCCUACCUAGUAAGUUGGACAAUCAAAAUGUUUUAAGUUUGGAAAAUCAAAAUGAGACAGAGAGUAUUACGUAAAGUUCAACUACUCUUAAUUGUAAUUAAAAAUAAUUUGAUAAUUCUACUGUUAAAAUGAAAUAUGUACAAUGAUAAUAAUGUGGAAUUUCAAUUUUAACAACAUUGACGAUUUUUUUUGUGUGCUCACAAGGUAAACCCCACCAGCAAGGUAAAACCCGUUCUCCAAUGUAAUCGCCCACAAACCUAUUGUACUAGACAAACCCGUGCAACAAGCUCAGUACAGAAAGCAUGAAGUAUUUCAUUCAGUGGCGGAGCAAAGUAUAUGACGAAGAGUGUGCAAAUUUCCUUCUCAGUUUCAUUUAGAGUGCAAAAUUAAAUUCACACUCAGAAAGCUAACAUUUCGUCCAUAUGCAGAACAUGAUUUUCCGACAAAGAUUGUGCACUUGACCACCCUUUUAUAUAGGUGGCUCCGCCCAUGUGUUUCAAAACUUAAGACUCCUCAUUUGGGCGAUUCCUAGCUCAACCAACUCGGCCACCCUUGAGGAUUCACAUUUAAGACUUUCCUCAAAAGGGAGCCUUGGAGUAACUGACAAAAUUACUAUCAUGUGACCAGGAGGUCACAAAUUCAAGCCUUGGAAACAACUCCUUACAGAAAUGUAAGGUGAUGCUGCAUACAAAAGAUCCGUGUAUCGAACCCUUCUCCAGAUCCUGCGUAUAGCGGGAGCUAAGUGCACCAAGCUGCCCUUUCAUGUCUUGUAUCCUUAUUCCAUACACAAUAAAUCAGUACUUGAGUAGAGUAAUAAUGUGACACUGCAUGAUAUUAGUAUUCAUUUAUUUAUUAUUAACAAGAAGAUAACAAGAACUUGUACAAACUCAAAAGUUGAUUGCACAUUACAAGAACCAACAUACGUUAUAGUCUCUAAUUAAAAUGCAGUGACCAGAAUUCAACGACUAUGCCGGAAGGCGAACCAUCAUUUGACCUUGCAUAACACUGCAAAUCAAAGAAAUACAGAUGUUUUAGACGAGUUUAACUUUUAUACACCGACCAUAACCAUAACGUUACCUAAACGGUAGCUAUGAGUAAUCAUUCAUAAAAAAAAAACGGAAUUAGUACUCUGAAAACAAGGCAGGUUACGUGCUAUAACAUGUUAAAACAUACUGAUAGUAGAAUUACCUCUUUACGUAAUAAUAACAGAAAUCGGCCAAAACGAAUGUUUGAACAAUUUCUGCCAAGAUGAUCACUGGUAUCCACAAGAAGCCCCCUCCACUCAAAGACAGAUACGAACCAGAUGUAUCAUAUACCUGCAUAUGAAUACACUCGGAGACUAUAAGUAUUGACGGAUUCAGAAUUUUACGUCUAUGAAUAAGUAGUGUCAUUAUACUCACAAACACGACAAUAGAUGCCAACAAAGUACUUAAGUUGCAUAUUUUCGAAUUUUCUUCAUGCACACACGCACGCACACAUACAUUUUGUGAAAGCCAUGAGUGCAACUGGAGCUCUAGCAUGCGGAAGUUUACAAAUAGAGUCGAAGCCGGAACUUUUCGUCAAUGAAAAUGAAGUGUCAUCGAACUCGCUACUUGCAACAAUUAGUGCGAACAAAGUUUUUUUUUUUAAGAAAAUUGUUCAUAUACACACACAAUCGCUUACACAUUGCACGCGCGCGCGCGCACACACGUUAUUGUUUACAAAAACAGUGAGUGCAACUACAGUCCAACAUUCUGAGCCAUUUAUGCAACCCUCUUCUCCGCCGUAAGUUUGGAAUCCAAUCUCAAGCGACGACAGGUUUGGGGAGGCAAAACUUGAACAAAUUGUUGUGUAUUUUGUUAUAUCAAAGAGAUCUUUUCAAUUCGAUUUGACUUGGGGCGUCAAGGACCCUCUAAUAGAAACCUCGUCUUUUUUUCAAAAGUUAUAAACUACGUACAAGAUAACACUCCAAAACUAACCUUAAUGAUCCAAUGAGCACAACUGAAGAAUCUUGAAACGCCCAACGCAAACACAUAAAGAGCUGUGAAUGGCUCAAUAAUCUGAAAUACAAGAAUAGGAAACAAUAUUGGUACUUCAUGCAGAAAACUAGGAAUACAUGAACUCAAACGUUUUUUUUCUUUUCUAACUGUGAGGGAAAGAACAGAUAUACAUAUAUAUGUAUGUACCUUGACAUUCUGCAUCAAGCGAAGCUGAGGCAGCACGGAGACACCUUCUAUAUACACAGCAAAAGCCCAAAGUAUACUGAUGAUAAGAUAACUCGUCCGAGGAUGGAUAAAGACGGCUAUCACCAAAGAAGGUACUAUCUGCGGAGAGAAUAGCAUGAUCCAAAAAGCAAUGUCAUUACUCAUGAAGCGAUUUCACUUGCACAUAAAUCACUUCCAACGGAUAUGUCACAACUAUCUUGCAUAAAAUCUGCUAAAAUAAAGUUAUAGCGACCAACGCAGUCAGGGGGAUCAGGGGUAGAGCUACUUGUAAUGAAGAGGCUCAAUGUAAUCCCAUUGACACCAAAAACUAUAUUGUGCAAAUAUGGUAAAAAACGAUCUUUUGUUUUGCAUUCAGAAUCUUGUUGGCAUAAUAGAAACUUGAGUAAAGCAUCUGGUACCCCCUCCUGAACUACGACCAAAACGAGGGUCCUAUCCCCCCCCCCCCCAAAAAACCAAACUCAAUUUUAGCGUAUUUUUUUCACCUUUUUGUGCUGACAUGCCACCUUUUGUCAACCUUAACCUUUUUAGCUGACGUAAGCCAUUUUAUGUAAUAAAGGUGUCACAUCAGCACAUAAGGAUGACAAAAAUAUGCUAAAAUUGAGUUCCGGGGGUAAUUGAAACCCUGUGAAGUUAAAGUGUGUCGUAGCAACUUUGGCCAUAGUUCGAGGGGUACUAGAUGCUUAUCUCUAAAAACUUCUAGCAUAGUACAAAGGUUGUUCAAGAAUUUCAAGUGUGGUAUUUUUACAUAUUUUUUAAUCCUCUUAUUGGAAUUCCUGAUUCUGCCACUAGUCACGAUUACAUUUACUUCUAUAUGCUAAAAGCUAGCGAACAAUUUAUCUCGCAAAAAUCGUCUUAAGAGAAACUCUCUCCAAGCGAUGUGCUAAUAAGUUUAGAACCAACAAGUCAAACAUUGAACGAUCUACACAAUUUCUAAGAACUUUAAACAUUGAACCAAUUAAAUCUAAAAUCCUUGAUCCGCCUCUGGAGACGACCAUACUAAUAAGCUUAGAAUGAAUAAAGGGAUCAACAGACAACAUGAGUCUUACUUCAACGACAAUUAUAAGAGAAAAAAGCUCAACGUACCACAAUAUAUUUCUUCAUGUUAUCCAAAUCUUCCAUGUAAGUUGACUUCAACUUGUACUUCAUCAUAAAUAUAAGCCAAAAUGUUGCCAGAAGAGUGACAAGGUCUAGUAUAGUAUGAAUAUCUCCUUCGAUUUGAAGACUACAAAAUAAUCUAACAGAUAAAAAUGUUGCCGUGAGCUGUUGAGUCUUCAAUGAAAGGCCUAAAAACAACAACAGCAACAGCAGAGACAUGUCAGAAGAUUGUUAACCUUAUUGUAAAGAGUUUAAGUUAUAUACACUGACGGUAUACAAAAAUUAUACUAUAUUUGAUAACUAAUUCAAAAAAAGUAUAUACUAUACACCCUUACACAAAACCAUUUUUCCAAAAUCAUAAUUUGGUCAUAUUUGCUCUUUUAUAAAUUUUUAGUAACCAAUAAUUUCUUUUUAGUUAUGACUAUAUAUAACAUAUCAAAUAAAAAACAUUUUUUACAUUUUUUAAAAAUAUUUUGACAAUAUUUUUCAUCGAUUAAUUGGGGUGGCAUAUCAAUUUUAUUUUUAAUGGACUAAAAUGAAUUGAGCUAAUAAAUGAUGGAGUCAAUAAUUCGUCCAAAAUUAUACUUUUUCCAAAAAGACUUGACCAAAUACCUCAAACCUUUUAACUCAUAAAUUGAUUAGUAGAAAAAGAAGAAAAAAGCUACAAAUCAAAUAUAAUUAUAACAAGUAUGUAGGUAAAAUUAUUACCAGAGCAAGUCUUGUGUGUGGUCAAUUUGUAGAUCAAGACCAAGAUGCCAACAAAAUGAGCAAAUUCAGCCAACACAAAGAAGUGAUUGUGUUCAUGAAUGAGUAAUUUUAGUGUGACAAGUAAAGUCAACACAGUGGAAACACCCAAGAAUGUCUUCACUUUGUUUGAUUGAUUUCUAACCCAUGUAAACAAUUUCUGUAAUGGCUUUUGAACUCCUUUCUGACCCAUUUUUUUUUUCUCACUCUACUUCUUUUUCUUCUUCAGCUUUAUGAUAUAAUCAAAUUUAGUACAAAAAAGAGAGUGGAUAAAUGUGUCAAUGUAUAAAGUGGGGUUGCCAAAGAAGACAAACAGUGUGUUUAACGUUUGGUAUGGCUAUUUUUUUAUUUUUUUAUUUUUAAGUAAAUGAAUCGAUUUCACCCCGAAUUAUAAACGAAAUUACUGAUGUACAUUAUUCUUGGAUAAAUUAAAAUCAUAUUUUUAACAAUCUUAGCAUCUACGUGGCACAUACGUGUGCCUACGUGGACCUUCAGUGUGUUGAUUCAUACAAUGUGUCAUGUAUGUGCCACAUAGGCACUAAGAUUGUCAAAAAUACAAUUUUAAUUAGUUUGGGAUGAUAAAAUUCCUUUUAAGUUGAAGUGUGUCUCAAUAAUUUCGUUUAUAAUUUAUGAUAGAAUCAGUUGCAUGAUGGUUGGGUGGUUUUUGAUCGUCCAUUCCUCUUUACUUGUUUAAUAUUAAAAAAAUAUAUUUUAAAAUAAUUAAAUUGUUGAGGUAUGGCCCUUUAAGAAAAAAAUUUAUGAUAUAAAUUGUACAUUACUUUCCACUAUUAUCUUUUUAAUUGUUAUUAAAUUACUCUCUUAAGAACCUCAUUAAAUGAAAGGGUAAAAUUAAAAGAAAUUUUCAACAUGUCUUUUGAAAAAUAAACAAUUCAUUUAUUUUGAACAUUAAAAAGUAGCUCAAUAAUUCAUUUAUUUUAAAAUAGAGAAAAUAGUUGUUUAACUUAUUUAUUCGCUUCAUUCAUCUUUAUGUAUUCGAUAGUAAAAAUAGUUAUUGAACUUAGUAGGCAUUUGAUCAUGAAAAUUAAAAUUAUUGAAGUUGAAGUUUGAAUAGUGGCAAAGUCAGUAAGCAUAGUAAUAGGAGAUUCCUACGAUGAAAAAAUAUAUUAUUAGUAUAUGGUUAAAAUAAUUUUUAUGUAUAUAUCAUAGAUAUUAAAUCUCUUGGGUGAGUUUUUCUUCAAAUUUUAAAUUAUCUUAGCAGAAAUUCUGACACCGCCUCUGAAUUUGAGUUGAAGUAAAUUGAAGUUGUGUUUGUUCAUGAAUAUAAUUGAAAUUAUUUUUAAAUUUUUGUGAGAGAAGAAAGACGAAAAAAAAGUAAAAAUAACUUUUUCAUAUUUUUAACUUUUUCAAAUUCAACUUCAAAUUAUAUUUAAAAUUUUUAUAAUCAAACAUCAAAUUAAGUUGUAUUACUCAACUUGAAAAAUCAUGAUAUAAUUUACUAAUUUGUGUCUAUUUUAAAUUCGCUUGCUAUUAAAUAAUCUUACAUUGGUUUCUCUAUAUUUAAAUGACUUACGAUUAAUAUGGGCGAUAUAAUGAACUCACCUUUUUAUUUGUUAUUUCUAAAGUGUUUAUAAAGUAUGUCUAGUUAAAUAUAGUCAAAUAAAAAUGAACAAAAUGAGUACUGUUUUUGUGUGAAAAAUAUCAUAGGGUUCGAUUCACCCAUAAUGUCUUCUUAAUUGAGUUCGUUGCACGGGAUUUACCUAGUGCGGUUUACAUUUUCUGUGUCGUUUGCGAGCUAUUGCACAGUUAGAGGUUUACCCAGUGUGCACAGAGUGUUCAUCCGAAAGGUAGAGGCUGUGGCAGAGGGUAUAGCGGCCGCAGGUUUUCCUGAAGUUUUAAAAAAUAAUAAUAAUAAAAAAAAGGACAUCUUUAAAAUGGAGCAAAUAGGAAAGUAAAACCAACCAUUCUAAUGGAGGGGGUAUUACGUUAUGAUCUUGUAAUUACAAAAAUAAAAUGAACUGAGUAGUGAAUGUUGGAUAACAAAACUUUGAGAUUGAAAAAUAAAUAAUUGAGAUAAAAAAAAUAUUACAAUAAUCGUUUUAUUGAUUUCAAUAAAUAAGUGUUACAAUCUUUAUUAAUCCUCUGAUUCGCUUUUUCAAAUAUAAAUUCAAGAAUUUCGAGCUUGAUCUUGAGCUUGAUUUGCUUGAGCUUGAUCUGAAUUAUAAGAUUCCUAUUUAUAGUGGUAGGAAGUAAAGAGUCAUGAUGAAUAUGAAUUUCUUUUGACCAAUCAGAUUCAAGUGGCAUGACGCCUUUUACGAAGUUUUGAUUUCACUAGGUAUGCUGCAUCAUUUUGACGCAUGGUAUGAUCCUAUUGGCCCCUUCACUUGACUUGGCAUGCCAUGUCAUUCGACACGUGACGCUUAUUUGGACCUCUAGAAUAUGAUGAUAUCUUGGACUUAUCAAAGUGGGCUCAUCAUUUGUAGCCCAAAUCAAUGGAGUGACCCAAUAAAAAUUAGACUUUUAUUAAAAUGAAAAGGACAAAAAUAGUCACUCAGCUAAAACAAUUGUCGUCGAGUGACCAUUGAUUUUGAAUUUUCAAAAUAUAGCCAUUUAGGCUAUUUUUUGCUACUAUCUUCAAUUUUUUUUUGCUGCAAAUAUCACAAUUCAGUGAUCUCGUUUAAACUAUCCUCUUGUUUAUCUAUAACGCCAUUACUUAACGGUUGAUUUGAAUCAUAAAGAUUUUAAACUUUGCUAGCUUCAAAACAAAAAACUAUUCUUUUAAUUGGUGUAUUUUUUCUAACAAUCAAAUUCGAUUUUAUAACAUUGUAAUUGUUGCUCUUCUUUUUUAUCAAUCAAAUACAAUAUUUGAUAUUAAAUACAUGAAUCUUUGAUACCAAAUACAAAUAUAUAUUUUAUACAAUAAUUGUAUAAAAGUGUAUCAAUGCAGUAUCAAAGUGUAUCAAUAUAGUAUAAAAGUGUAUCAAUAUGGUAUAAAAGUGUAUCAAUUGGGUAUAAAGACUACGUGCGACCGACGAACCAAAUGGCUAAAAAUUAAAAUUAAAUUGGACCGAUUGGCUCCAAUUGUCCAACUUUUAAAAUUGCUGGCCAUUUCUUUUCAAAAUGAUCAGUUCAUGUCCUUUUCUCUUAAUUAAAUUUAUACAUGUUUAGACUUAAGUAAUUAAUUUAAUUAUAUUUAUUUAAAAUUAAUAUAUUUUAAAUUUAAUAUAAUUUAAAUUUCGUACGGAUUAAAAUUUAGUUGCCUAUAGUGAAAAUAUAAAAACUAAUUUAAAAUUCCUAAUCAUUUAUGUGUCAUCAUUAUAUAGUACAUCAAAUUUAAGUUUGGGGUUGAUAGUAGGGACAAAGAUUGACGUAGCAACACCAAAGAGGAAGAGACACAUAGGAUAUGUCCAUCACUCAUUGACAAUGUGCAUUAUUGCCUAUAUAAUAAAAGGCAUGAAUUUACUUUACUUUAUUUUGCUUUACUAUAUAUAAUAAAAGGCAAUGACCAGGUACGUCUUUGACAUGCUUGCUUGUACCUUAUAUUUCAAUUGUUUUAAUCGUAAUUUUAUUAUAUAUAUUAUUUAAAUAUUAAAAUAUUUAUAAUAUUUAAUAAAAAUAUAAAAUAAUAAAUUAACUUUUAAUUUUUUAAAUUAACUUAAUAUCUUAUAUGAGACCCAUUUAUACUUUUUUCACAAAUCUUUUUAUAGUAAUUUUAUUAUGUUGCUUCUAAUUAGUUAUUAUAAAUCAUUAAAAACAUGUCUUCUUCACUGCUUCAAUCCUGAUUUUAUUUUAUUAUCCCUAAUUAAUUAUUAUGGUCACAUUAAAAAAUUAAUAAUACUUCAUAAAAUAGACAGAAAAUGAUAUGUCAACAUAAAAUAUUUAAUUGACUAUCGAAAUUAUAUUGGUGCCACAUAGACUGAUUUUUAAAAUUAUAUCAGUGUCACAUAAAUAAUAAAUUAACUUUUUAUUUUUUAAAUUAACUUGAUGUGUUAUAUAAGACACAUUUAUACGUUUUACACAAAUAUUUUUUAUAGUAAUUUUAUUAUAUCACUUCUAAUUAGUUAUUAUAAGUCAUUUAAGACAUGUCUUCUUCGUUGCUUCAAUCGUGAUUUUAUUAUAUCAACCUUAAUUAAUUAUUGUGGUCACAUUAGAAAAUUAAUAAUAUUUCAUAUAAAAUAUUUGAUUAACUAUCGAAAUUAUAUUAGUUCACAUCGUCUGAUUUUUAAAAUUGUAGCAGUGUCACUUAAAUUGAAAUUGAAGAAAAAGUAUUAAAAAUCACAAUAAUUAAAAUUAUUUUAAUAAUAAAUUAUCUAAAUUAUAUUUAUAUCACAUAAAUUGAGAUAAAAAAAUAACUAGCAUGGAUCCUUCAAUGUCUAGUAUUAAUAUAUAUACUUAGGUCCACUGUAUAUAUUUUCUUUUAAUAAGAUAAGAUAUGCUUCCAUAACAACUUCAAUUAUAAGUUGAUAUUGUUAUGAAAUAAUAAUAAAAACUCAAUGCAACAUAAUUUAGAGAAAGAAGUUAGGAGAAGUGAGAUUUUAUUUUACUUGAAAGUGAUGUACUGAUUUAGUUUUUAUUUUGGAAAAAGUUCGAAAUAUAUCUAAAUUUUGAUAAAUUUUGUUGUAACACGCCUCAAUUUUAUGGGGAUUUGAUAACCCUCUUGACUAUUUAUUGUAUUUUUGUGGCAUAUAUUUGUCCAGUUGGACCAUUACGUGAAUACACGCACACUAAACACGUAAGAUUCUAAAGUGGUUCGGCUAGACAAAUAUAUGUCACAGAAAUACGAUAAUAAAUAGUCCAGGGAAGUCAUAGGACUCCCAUAAAAUUAAAACGCGUUAUAAUAAACUUCACCAAAAUUUAAAUAUAUUUCUGACUUUUUUCCUUUUUUUCCUUUUAUUUAUAGAACACGUUUGUUGGAUUGCAAAGAACUUGUAAGAGUAAUAAUUUUUAGUAACUAUCUGCUUAAACUACUUGUAAAUUUCUUCAAAAAGCUAUAGUAGUAAUUAAAUGAACCACCACAAAUAUAAUAUACUUAUAAAUAUAUUUAUCUUAGGAAAAAAAUUCAAAAAAUAUAUUUAAAUUUUAGCGAAAUUUAUCGUAAUAUGUCUCAACUUUGCGGGUGUCCUCUGACCCCUCUCAAUUAUUUAUUACUGUAUUUUUGUGGUAUAUAUUUAUCCAGCUGGACCACUUCAAAUCUUUACGCGCUUAGUGUGAGUGUAUUCACGCAGUGAUUCACCUAGAUAAAUAUAUACCAUAAAAAUACGAUUGUAAAUAAUCGAAGAGAUUUAUAGAACCUCCACAAAAUUGAGACGUAUUACAUUUUGCUAAAAUUUAAAUAUAUUUCGAACCUUUUUUCCUUUUAUCUUACUUGCAUAAUCCAAUUUAAUCCCAAUAAAUAUUGGAUUUGGUAGUUGCAAAAGGUACUUUUUCUCUUUUAUAUAUUGGGACUUGUUUUUAUCACUUUUAUGUAGAAAUUAGUUUUUCACCUGCAAAGAUCAUGUAGUUUACCACUCACUUAAUAUAAUUUCUUCAAUUAUUGUCUUUUAUAAGCUCCUUUUUAUUUAUUUUUCUUUUCACUAUGAUAUGAUAAACUUUCACUAUAAAUAGAAUGUGAAUUGAAUUUACGAAAUUAAUAGAUCGUUUCGUCGAGAAUUAGUUAGGUAGAUAAUAGCUAUUUCGUAUUAAAUAAUUUUGAAGCAUUAUCAACUCCAACAAUUCAACAAAUAUCUUUUAUCUAUUGGUUAACACAAGUUAUUAUGUUUUAAAUAUUUUUCUAGAAAAUAAAAUAUUAACAAUCAUGGAACAACUUUGAUACAAGAAAUAAUGAUUGAAAGACUUCACAUAUCUGGAAAUGGAGAUUAAAAGAAAUUUAGUCCAGAUCAGCAACUAGUUUUGAGAAACAGUUAUAACUGCCAAUUAGUUAUCUACUGUCAUUCUCAAUUCUAUUAAAAGUUAGUUACAAAUGUAUUCUUAGGUAUUCCAUUUUCAUUGAUAUAUAGCGAACAUGUAAAAUGAAGGAUCAUAAUAAGAAAUAUCAGUUUCUCUUCUGAAAUUCUCUCUAUACUAUUCUCUUCUCUCUUCUUCUAAAUUCAUCAUCUUGAGCUGAAAUCUCGAACCAUAUUCCUGAAUCAGCCUACAAAUCUCGAGUUAUCUUUUAUAACUCCUACAUUUGUGUAACAUUGGUAUCAAAGCCAAUCGACUUCUUGGCAACCAUGACGAAAACAACAAGAUCCAUUGAUAGUUCUCCAGCUGAAAUGGGGGGAAUAAGGAAUAUGCUACAGAAAUUGACAGCGGAUAUGGAUACUUUGACAAGAGAGGUCACUAGCUUAAAAAGAUUGGAUCAAGUAGUGAUGGAAUUGAAAGAGUAAUUGGUGCAAUCUGGAGAAAAUAGGAGGGAGAAAUCUCCUCUGGAUAGAACAGGUCCCUCUGGACCUCGACAUUCAGAAGAAAGAAGGCAAGAUAAAAGCCCUGCAAGCUAUAACACUAACAAUUUCAAUUUCUCAAGAUGGUCGAGAAUGGAUUAUUUGAGAUUUUUUGGGGAUGAUUUUCGAUCUUGGUAGUUCAAAAUUGAACAAUUUUUCUCCAUGGAAAAUGUUGCUAAUGAGGAUAAGGUUUCUAUUGCAGCUUUGCAGUUGGAGAGAGAAGCCAUUUAGUAGUAUCUAUCUUUUAUGGUAUAUAGGCAAUAUUUACAAUCGCCUACAUGGACUGAGUACGUAAUGGCAAUGGUGGAUAGGUUUGGGACGAACUUUGAUGACCCUAUGGAGGAGCUGAAAAAGAUCAAACGGGUGGGGAGCGUGAAAGAAUAUCAGGCUCUAUUUGAGAAGUAUUUGACUAGGGUCAAAUUGUCUGAAGAAAAUGCUAUUAGUUGUUACAUUGGGGGUUUGAAACCUGACCUGAAAAUUGCUGUGAAGAUUACUCAACCUAUAUCACUUUCACAGGUGUAUAAGAGUGCAAGAAUGCAAGAAGCAUAUCUUACGGCCAUCAAACCAUCCAGUGGAUUCCAUAGUCUCAAUACAUCUACGAGGUCAACUGAGCACAGGUUGCAGAGUAAACUAGGACUAUUACCAACUCCAACUACUGGUUAUGCAGGGCCACAAAAAAAUGUUAAUCGGAGAACAUUAAGUAUUGAAGAAAUGAAUGAUAAGAGAUCUAAAGGUCUUUGUUACUUCUGUGGUGAAAGGUACACUUUUGGUCAUCAAUGCAAGACUAUUAAGAAGUUGUACUUGCUGGAAAUAGAGGAGCAGGAUGAGGGUGGUGAUGACCAGAUUUUGGGAAUUAUAGAUCCUAAAGAAAGUCAAGAAGUGGAGAUGACCAACACAAUGGAGCAACUAGAAAUUUCUAUUUAUGCUUUAAAUGGUUCCUUAGGAUAUAUGACCUUAAAAGUGACUGGCUAUCACUUUAAAAAGCCUUUACACAUCUUGAUUGAUACUGGUAGUUCACAUAACUUUACUGACCAUGAGUUAGUACAACAACUGGGGUGCCCUAUCAGAUCAGUUUUUCCUGAAAAAGUUGCAGCAACCAAUGAAAAUGACAUGCAAGUUGACAAGAUAUGCACUAUAUCUUGGUUGUUACAAGGAGCUGAGUUUUCUGAUGAUUUUUUGUUGUUACCACUAGGUUCUUGUGGGGUGGUUUUAGGGGUUCAAUGGCUUCUCACCUUGGGGGAUAUUAAGAUGAAUUUCAAGAAACUCACCAUGGAAUUCUACUACAAAGGGAUGAAACAUUGUCUUAGAGGUGCAGAAAGUCCAGUCACAACCUCAGGAGCUGGAAAAAUGGCUAAGUUUUCAGGUAAUCAAUCUCAACUAUGCAUGAUCCAAGUAGUUCCUUCUAUGAAUAAUGAUGUACAAUGGUAUGCCAUUGAAACUAAGGAACAACCUAAAACAGAUGCAAACUUAUUAAGUCUAUUGGUGCAGUUUUAAUCUUUGUUUACAGAACCUACUCAGUUACCUCCUUCUAGAGGUGUUUUUUAUCAUAGGAUCGUGUUACACCAUGGUACUGAACCUGUAAACAAGAUACCAUAUUGAUAUCCAUCUGUGAAAAAGGAUAUCAUUGAAGGGUUAAUACAAUAAAUAUUUAAUCAAGGGAUCAUACAACCUAGUUGUAGUCUUUUUGCUUCUCCUAUUGUUUUAGUUGGGAAGAAGGAUGGUUCUUGGAAGAUGUGUGUGGAAUAUAGAGAUUUAAAUAAAAUACUGUCAAGAACAAGUUUCCAAUUCCAAUUGUUGAAGACUUAUUAGAUGAGUUAGAAGGGUCCAAGAUCUUUUCUAAGAUUGACCUCAGGUCUGGUUACCAUCAGUUGAGGAUGGCAGAGGAGGAUGUGUCUAAAAUAGCCUUUAGAACACACUCAGGUCAUUUUGAAUAUUUGGUUAUGCCCUUUGGUUUAUCAAAUGCGCCAGCAACUUUCCAAGGACUUAUGAAUUUUGUAUUUCAACCCUUCCUAAGAAAGUUUGUCUUAGUCUUCUUUGAUAAUAUCCUUGUAUAUAGCAAGAGCUUGGAAGAUUAUUUGUUGUAUCUUACAGCUAUUUUUAAAGCUAUGAUGCAGCACCAGCUGUUUGCUAAAGAAAGUAAAUGUUUCUUUGGGCUGUUGAGAAUUGAGUAUCUUGGCCAUUUUAUUACUGAGCAUGGAAUGUCUACUGAUCCUCAGAAGGUGAAUGUUGUGCAGAAUUGGCUUGUUCCUACUACUCUGAAGUAGUUAAGAGAAUUUUUGGGAUUAGCCGGCUAUUAUAGGAGGUUCAUCCAGGGAUUUGGUAUAAUUGCUAGACCAUUAACUGACCUCUUAAAGAGGAACAAUUUCAAUUGGUCUAAUGAAGCAGCUACUGAAUUUGCAACUCUUAAGAAAAGACUUACUCAGGCUCCUGUUUUAGCUUUACCUGAUGCUACUAAACUCUUUAUUGUGGAAACUGAUGCAAGUGGGACUGGUAUUGGUGUUGUUCUCAUGCAAGAGGGCCAUCCUAUUGCUUUUAUUAGGAAAGCUCUUAGCCCUAAACAUGCAACCAUGUCGGUAUGUGAUAGAGAGUUAUUGGCUAUUAUGCAGGCUGUUACCAAAUGGUCACAAUAUCUUCUUGGUCAAAAGUUUGUCAUUAGAACUGAUCAGAAAGCUUUGAAGUUUUUAAUGGAACAAAAGUUGCAUACUAACUCUCAACUCUUGUGGUUGACUAAACUAAUGUCAUUUGACUACAUAAUUCAAUAUAAGAGAAGGGUGGAAAACAAAGUGGUUGAUGCUUUAUCAAGGGUGACAGGUGCUGAACUUAUGUCAUUGGUGCUAUCUACUGCUACUUGUGAUCUUUUUCAAGAUAUAAUUAAUAGUUGACAUACUGACCAUGAGACACAAGCUCUUAUUCAUAAACUCCAAACCUCUCCUGGCACUUUCAAGCAGUAUACUUGGUGUAAUAAUCAGUUCAGGAGGAAAGGAAGACUUGUGGUGGGAAAUAACCAUCAGCUGAGAAUUCAGAUCAUCACCUGUGGCAUUCUUGCCCUCAGGGUGGCCACUCAGGCAUAGAGGCCAUCUUGAAGAGAUUGCCGACUUUUUUCUACUAGAAAGGGCUCAGAUCUGAUGUUCAGGAGUUUAUUCAUGCUUGUGAUAUGUGUCAAAAAAACAAAGAAGACUUAGCAGUUUCUCCUGGUUUAUUGCAACUGCUGGUCAUACCUGAUGUAGUUUGGUCUCAAAUCAGUAUGGAUUUUAUCACUGGACUUCUUAAUUCUAGAGGUUAUGAAGUCAUAUUAGUGGUGGUUGACAGGUUAAGAAAAUAUGCUUAUUUCAUGGCUCUUAAACACCCUUAUACUGUUGCAUCUGUUGCUCAGGAAUUUUUGGAUAUGGUAGUGAAACUUCAUGGUCUUCCUAAUGCAAUUACUAGUGACAAAGAUGCUAUUUUCCUCAGCACAUUUUGGCAAAAUUUAUUCACCUUACAAGGGGUCCAUCUACACACAACAUCAGCGUAUCACCCACAGCCUGAUGGCCAGACGAAAGUACUGAACAGAUGUUUGGAGACAUAUUUGAGGUGUUUCUGUAGUGAAGAUGUUUCUAAUUGCUCAAAUUGUUUAGCUAUAGCUCAAUACUGGUACAAUACAUCCUAUCAUUCUGUUAUUCAUAUGACUUCAUAUAAAGCAUUGUAUGGCAGACCUCCUCCUUUGCACUUGCCUUACCUUUCGGGUGAAUCAGCUUCGGCUGAAGUUGAUAAUUCUCUUCUCCACAGAGAAUUGAUUUUACAACUUCUUAAGCACCAUUUGACCAGGGCUCAACUGAGAAUGAAGCAGCAGGCUGACCUACAUAGGAGUGACAAAUCCUUUGACGUUGGUGAUUGGGUGUACUUUAAAACUCAACCUUAUAGACAACAAACUAUUUCUACUAAGUUUCAUCACAAAUUUUCUGCUAGGUACUAUGGUCUUUUCCAGAUCAUCAAGAAGGUUAGGCCAGUAGCAUAUACUCUUUUGUUUCCGGCUGAUGUCAAGAUUCACCCUACUGUGCAUGUGUCAUUACUGAAGAAGUGUUAUGAGCUACCUGCUACUAUCUCUUAUCCCCUACCUUUGACUCAUCCCUACUGCCCCUCUCCGGAGAGUAUUUUGUAAAUAAGGAUGGUGAAGAAGGGCAAUAAGGUUAUUGCUUAGGUCUUGGUUAAGUGGCAAGACCUAUCCACUGAUGAGGCUACUUGAGAGUUCUACAAUGCGUUGUUGACUAGAUUUCCUUUUAUUAAUCCUUAUGGACAAGGAUCUCUUGUUGAAGAGAGUGUUGAUAUACGAGAUAAUGAUUGAAAGACUUCACAUAGCUGAAAAUAGAGAUUAAAAGAAGUUUAGUCCAGAUCAGCAACUAGUUCUGGAAAACGAUUAUAACUGCCAAUUAGUUAAACAGUUUACUGUCAUUCUCAAUUCUAUUAAAAGUUAGUUACAAAUGUAUUCUUAGGUAUUCUAUUUUCAUUGAUAUAUAGAGAACAUGUAAAAUGAAGGAUCAUAAUAAGAAAUAUCAGUUUCUCUUCUAAACUUCUCUCUAUUCUAUUCUCUUCUUUCUCUUCUCUCAUCUUCUAAAUUCAUCAUCUUGAGCUAAAAUCUCGAACCUUGUUCCUGAAUUAGCCUACAAAUCUUGAGUUAUCCUCUAUAACUCCUACAUUUGUGUAACAUAACUUCAUCUUAUCGAGGACUCUUGAUAGGAAGAAGGUGUGGAGAAGGCGGAUUAAGGUAGAAGAAUAGUAGAAACGAGUGCAUUGGUGCUAGUAGGUAGGAGGACUGUGUUAAUAGCUAUAGUAUUACUCCCUCCAUUUAAAAAAGAAUGACCUAGUUUGACUUGACACGGAGUUUAAGAUAAUAAAGAAGACAUUUGAAUCUUGUGGUCCUAAAUUAAAGUUAUGUCAAAUGUACCAAAAUGCCCUUUAAUCUUGUGGUCUUAAACAUGUCAUGUGGAAAGUUGAAAGUAAAGUAUUGCCAAAAAGAGAAAGGGGUUAUUCUUUUUUAAACGGACUAAAAAGAAAAGUAGGUCAUUCUUUUUGAAACGGAGGGAGUAGUAUUAUUUCGGAAUAUUGUAUCGUUUGUUAAAUUACUUAGUGAAUCUUGCCUAUGUUAUUAUUAGUUGCGGUAAUUUUUGUUGUAUCUUGUCUUCUUACUAUUCCUUUUCUAAAUUGUUUAUCUUGAUUCGAAGAUCUAUAAAAAAUAACCUCUCUAUCUCAUCGCUGAGGUAACGAUCUGAACCGGGACGCUUUAUAAGUGGACGUUGUGUUGUGUAUCUUGAGAAGGAAUUGUUUUUAAUUUAUUUAUUAUUUGAUGUUUGAUAUUUGUAUUGAAAUUAAAUGCAAAUUGAAAUUUUACAGACCCAUUUUUAGAGACUGCGCUCUUAAAAAAUUUCUUUCAGUGAAUAAAAAUUAAAAUAUAAAAAUUGUUUAUUUGUAGCCCUCGUGCAACACGUGAACACCUAUUUUCUUAAGGGAAAGUCAAUUGAUCCUGGAUAUUUUAUUUUUUUCUUUAACAAAGGAAUAUUCAAAUCAAUUUUCUUGGAGAAAUAAAUCGGAUCUGGUUGAUUUUUUUAAGGGAAUAUUUAAAUUAAAUGUGAUAUGAAUCUACACAUAAUUCAAAAUAUUCUUUCAGAAUUAUGAUCAGAAAUCUUUUUUGUUUUCAAUAGUCUUGAAAUACUCCUGAUUUAAAAUGAGAACUAUACUUCAUAUAAGAUUUAAAAGAAAAUUAAAAAAAAAAAGAAAAGAGUGGGAGUUUCCAAUAGGUGAACUUUGAGAGCUCAACACUCCGAGGGUCUAUCGAAAAUAACAUGUGUACGCGUAAACUUUCCAGACUUCACUUGUGAGAUCUCACUGAGUAUGUUUUGAACUCGGAGAGGUCAACAAAGUGGCACUCUUGAAACAAAAAAGUCUGAAAAGCUUCCAAUAGGUGAAAUUGGAAAGCUCAACACAUUGAGGGUCUUAUCAAAAACAACCUCUCUAUCUCAUAUCCCCGGCAUGUUGUUGUUGCUGUUGAACUUGGAGUGGUCAGCAUAGCGGCACUCUUAAAAGUCUGAACAGUUUUCAAUAGGUGAACUUGGAGGGCUCAACAUGUUGAGGGUCUUAACCCACAAAGGUAGGAGUAAGAUCUGCGUACACCUACCAUCCCGGCAUGUUGUUGUUGAUGUUGAACUUGGAGAGCUCAACACGUUGAGGGUCUUAUCGAAAACAACCUCCCUACCCCACAAAGGUAGGAGUAAAAUCAGCAUACACCUACCAUCUCGGGCAUGUUGUCGUUGUUGAACCUGGAGAGCUCAACAUGUUGAGGCUCUUAUCGGAAACAACCUCUAGGCUCUUAUCGGAAACAACCUCUCUACCUCAAAAAGGUAGGACGGACUUGUGAUCAAUCCAUAGACACAACAACAACAGCAACAACAUGCCCAGUGUAGUCCCACAAAGUGGUGAUCAAACCAUAGAUACCGAUAGAAAAUAGAAAGUAGAAAAUAGGCACUCAAGAAAAGUACAUACUCGAGAAUCAUUAAACAACUCCUUGUAGUGAGAGAUAAAAACCAACAACAAUUAACACAUUUUCCAGAUUUUUCAUAAUGCUUUUUUCAUGCUAAGUACAAUGCUCAAAUUCUUCGUUUAAUUCCUGAAUCUCGCAAGUUAAGCUACAGACAUUAGGCUUUCGUCGUAUAGUUCUUCAGAUGAGCUACAAACAUCUUCAGCUACAGCCUACAAUCGCGUUUCCCAGACCAUCACUUCAUAUAGCUUCUCAAACUAAAUGUUUGUUCAUUGCCGGACCAACAAACACUACCGUAGAUAUUGACUUACUUCAAGCAACGCACAGAUGAUGGUAUGGCAAGAUAUGGACGAUGACUGCUAAUCAUACCUUUGACGUCUGAGAUCCAGGGGGCAAGAAAGACUCCCACCACCCGUAUUCAUACUUCGGGUAUGGUGCUGUCCAUGUUUCCGGCUUUUCAAACUCAAGAUUAACCGGAGUACUUGCCAAAGCUUCUUCUAGACUGUCAGCCUCAUAGCUCUCUUGUAAAACUCGGUCUAGCCUCAGUUUCAUGAACCUACAAGUUUCGAAAAACAGAUCAAAAGAAAAAUAGAAAAUGUACAACUUUACCACUCUGCUAUACGAAAUAGCUUAAAUGUACCAUCUGUUAUAUAGUUUGGGGUCAUUCAUACCCACGCUGCUAGCAAAUCUUCUCGUAACUGCCCUUGUCUUUAAGGGAGCUCCACCGUGGACGGGGUUAUACCACAUAUCAAAAAUACAUCGGGGAAAAAGUAUCUAACUUGUACCCCCGCUACUUUUCCUUGGUUUAAAAUUAACUACCGUUAUACUUCAGAUUGGAGUUUCGUCAGGGUCAAGGGCAAGCACGAGAUGAUUUGCUAACAUUGAGGAUAUGAACGAACCUAAAGUACACCAAAUGGUAUUAGUUAAGAUAUCUCGUAUAGUAUAGGAACAUUUUGACCUCUUUCUCCUGAUUUUCUAAGUUACUCGGACUCUCCAAAAUUGUUGCCGUACCCGUGUCAGAUCCUUCAAAUAUACGCUAUUUUUGGAGGAUCCGACAUGCACCUGCCGACAUUUUUGAAGAGUCCGAGCAACAUAGCUGAUCUUAACUUGUUAUAGACGGCAAAUCUUUUGAUGAUGCAUACAGACAGAAACAAAUGGAGUAAUUAGUGUCUCGAUUAUUUAACAAUGACAGCCCCUUACGUGAUCCAUGGGCCAUUCGUCGAAACAAGUGCUACAGCAGGUCUCUUCAGUCUCUUGGUGAUAUUAGGGAACUUGUCCAAGAACUUGGGCUCAAUUACAAGCCAGAAAUCCGGUUCUUUGUUGCGCUCUCCAUAGAGACGACGACGUUCAAACAUUUGCUCCUGGAAAUGCUCCUCUUCGUCCAGCAUAAAUUUGGCAUUCGCAACAAGGAAAUAGUACUUCUUCCUUUCAGUCUCUUGCUGUAUAUACAACAGAAAAUCAGCAUCAACAUUCGUAACAUUGAACUAAAGCAAAUGACGCCAAACAGGGAGUAAUUUAAAUUAACGUCUUUUCCUUUUCACUGCAAUGAUCCGUCACAGACGACCAAAAUAUACAUUCAAAGGCGAGUGAGAGUAGGACUAAUAAAAGUAACAUGAAUUACAUACCCUGACCCUCUAAUAGACUAAGUUGCGUGGACUCAUCACUUUUGAUUCCGCACCCGUGUCAGAUUCUCCAAAAAUACACUACUUUUUGGACAAUCCGACACGCACCCGCUGACAUUUUUGAAGAGUCCAAGCAACAUAGCUAAUAGAUGGUUAUUUUAAUUUCAUUUCGACCUUCUCGUGUCUCUAAUACCCAUAUUGCUAAACGAAGAAGUGAACUCAGUUUUGACCAGAAACGUACGAGUGUAAUCAUUCAAUCAACACAAUCAGCCACGGCUCAAUCCCAAAUCAACUGCGAAUUGCUACAUAAAUCUGAUGUAACAUUCUGCUCUCAGUUCGAUUUCAUACAAUACUACCUAAUUUGCUAAACAAGGUAACUAGUGUAAUUACAGCUAGUUGGUAGUGUGCCAAUCCGGGGUGGAGUUAGAGAGUAGGAAGCGAGUUCAGCAGAACCUAGUAUUUGUCUCAAGAAAUACAUCUAAGAUGUAUAAAUUAUUACUCCUUCUGUCCCCAGAUACUUGUUACGUUUCACUUUUCGAGAGUCAAACUACAUAAGCUUUUGAUCAAUAUUUUAAACUGAACAUCACAUUCUGGCUUCGCCUCUGGCGCCUACAUGGAUCCCUUGCUAUUAACAUGUUUUGUUCUUAGCCUGCGUUGGUUCCGAGAGAAUUUUGGCCUUUCGAGACAAACAAAGCUUGCACUUGCGCAAUGGAGGGUCUCAUAUUCAACUUUACACGAAGCAGGGAAAUUGAGAGUAAACAAAGACUAUAACCAGGGGCGGAUACAAGUCUUACAUAUUGGGUUCAUCGUGAAGCAUAAACUUAUGCAUUUGAAUUCAUUACAAGAAAUAGUAGAGAUGAACCCAUAACUUAUUAUUGUAGGUUUAACGAGGAGAACCUUAAAAUAUUGAACGCGUUUAAGCUUAAAUAUUGGAUCCGCCUUUGCUUUACAGCUACACUAUCAAAGAAAUUGUAGACAUGAAUGGCAGGCAAAAGAAGACCAUUUUUGUAACAAUAACAAACAGGAGAACCAAAUAAAAAGGCAAUAACGAGAGAGUUUGGUCUUUUUUUCCCUAAAAAUGUGGGGAUUAGGUGCGCUUGCACGCACCUCGACUUAUUCCACGUGGCACCUGCUAUCUCCCACCAACACAAGAACCGGGUGGACAAACUGGAAGAAACCUGAGACCUCAUACUUCUUAACCUACUUCAUUGCUCGCUAGGCCACGUCUUUGGGUGCAAGAGGGUCUGGUCUUUUGAGGCAAAUAAAGCACUAACACUAUUAGAGUUUCAUGCUCAAGUUCAAACGAAGCAGAGAAAUGGAAGCUAAGUUGCUCCGACUCUCUAAAAAUGCUGCCGUAUCCGUGUUUGAUCCUCCAAAAAUGCCCUACUUUUGAAGAAUCCGACAUGCACCUAAUGACAUUUUUGAAAGUCCGAGCAACAUAGAUUGAAAGCAGGUGAAAAAUAUAGCUGCUAUACUUUCAGAGCAAUUAGACAUGAAUGGCCAUUGGUGGAUAUAACAUAUUGACAUCAGGUUCAUCUGUACCCAAUACUUUCGACAAAAGCAUAAAUUUAUACAUAAAAAUUCACAAAAGUUGAAACAAAUAGUAAAUAUGAACCCAUAACUUCAAAGAUAAACCAUGUUUAGUGCUAAAAAAUGUAAAUGUAGAACCCAUAAAACUUAAAUCCUAUAUCAACUUCUAAAAAAGACACACAAAGAAGCCAUUUAUAUUUAAAAUUCAUGAAGAUUGCACCAAGCAACAAAUAGUAAAUAUGAGGGAAAAAGGUUCGAAAUAUACCUAAAUUUUGGCGAAAUUUGUUGUAACACACGCCUCAACUUUACGGGAGUCUUAUGACCCCUUUGACUAUUUAUUACCGUAUUUUUGUGGCAUAUAUUUGCUACUGCGUGAAUACACGCGCACUGGCGCGUAAGAGUCUGAAGUGGUCUAGCUGAACAAAUAUAUGUCAUAGAAAUACGGUAAUAAAUAGUCGAUCGGACCCCCACAAAGUUAAGGAGUGUUACAACAAAUUUCGCCUAAGUUUAAAUAUAUUUCUGACUCUUUUCCCUAAAUAUGAACUAUAACUUCAAAAAUAUAAUGGGCUCAAUGCUAAAAGAGUUAAACGUUGAACCCACAAAACAUAAAUCCUAAAUCCGCGUCCGCAAAUGACACUCAAAAGAAGCCAUUUUUUAAGAGAAAAUGCACUAUUUUCACCCUGAACUAUAAACGAAAUUGCUGAGACACACUCCAACUUAAAGGAUAUUAUUAACCCUUAACUAAUUAAAAUCGUAUUUUUAGCAACUUUAAGGCCUACAUGGCACACUGCAUGAAUCAAUAUAUUGAAGGUCCACGUAGGCACUUACUCCUUGAGUUGGGGUGUGUCUCCGCAAUUUUGUUUAUAGUUUAGGUGAAAACAGUGCAUUUACUUUUUAUUUAACAACUAUUUAAUGACAUUAUCUCCAUUUUAUCCUCACUGAGUCCCACUUAACCAAAAAAAAAAAAAAAAAAGAGUAAACAUUAAAGUGACUUAAGAGCGGGCAAUUCGGUAAAUUUUACAAAGUAAAUCAUUUAUUCCUUGAACUCUGUGUCUGGUCAAAUGGCGACACAUAAAAUGAAACGGAGGGUGUAAUAUUUACACCAAUACAUCCACAAAUUAAAAAAUGUAACAGAAAAAAGGUGAGAAAUAGUAGGUCUAGUUAAUUUCCAGCUACAAUGCUUAAAAACAGUGCUGCUAUUGUUGUUAUUGUUGUUGGGUGAUGGUGGUGAAAAUUGAGCACCAUGUAAAAGGAAAGAAGAAGAUUUAUGAGGACAAUGAGUUGGAAAAUUCACUAAGGAAGUGCAAAAUGAACCAAGAUUUAGAGAUGUUGAAGAUGACAUUGUUAAUUAUCGAGAAUCAGUCUGUAUUGGAAUGGCACGAGAGAAAAAGAAGAUAGUGCCAACUGAGAUAAAUGCACCAACCUUAUCCUACCUUUUUAUUUCUUCAAA